Molecule: long non-coding RNA, 64693 nt
Filed under: Olea europaea (common olive)
Lineage: Eukaryota; Viridiplantae; Streptophyta; Magnoliopsida; Lamiales; Oleaceae
Description: long non-coding RNA (OEUR_LNC005779)
Source: RNAcentral
CCAAACGGGUGCUUAUUUUCAACUUACAUUUUUACUUAUAAGUUUAACCUUUUAACUUGAGACAAACAUCUCAAAAAGUUUCAAACAAGUUAGCUUUUGUGAUUAUUAUACCAUUCAACAACUUGUUUUUCACUUGGGUGUGUCCGGUGGGACCACCUGGAAUUGAUCAAACCAAGACCUCGUUUGGGUGUGAUUUUUCACUUUAAAAAAUUAAUUUUUUUUAUCAUUAUUUCAUUAUUUCAGUCGUAAUUUUUGACUUCUUUUCUCACAUGAGACCUCCACUUUUUUUCCAACGAUCAAAAAAUCAAUUAUCAGUAUCACUACCGAACAGUCCACAAUUCUACGGCCUAAAUUGAUCCGCAAACCAGUACAGGACCAAACAUCUAGUUCGGAACAGUACCGAAUUUUCGUACUUAAAACCCAGCCCACAAGACUUCACCCUUUCAUAUCAAUGGUUAACUGUACCCCAAAAACUCACACAGAGAGAGAAUCUCCGAUAUGCCAAGAUGGUUGUCCAUGUCAGCUUUCCGGUGGUUAGACGUUAGCUUCUCGCUUCCGACGUCUUUGUUCCGGUGGCCGAGUCUGUUUGCCUCGUACUUCACACCAAGCUGGAGCAACAGCCUUAGCCUUAGCAGUUUGAGCAGCUUCGAACCGCGGCGGUUGGCGGCACUCGUCCGGUGGCCGGACCUCGAUUUCUCCUUCCCCAUUGUCGACACCGUAAUCUGGUCCUUCAUCUCCGCCAUCGAGUCCGUCGCCCUCGUUUCCUUCCUCUGCUUCUUCUUUGUCUUCUGCGGCUGCACCAUAUGAUACGAGACGAUCACCAUCUCAACUGCGGUACAUACAUAAUAUGUAUGUAUAGUCAUAGAGUUAUAUACAUAGGUUAUCGCCCAUAGUUAAUGAUUUCGAUGUAAGUGUUGUGUACUGGUGGUGGCGCUGCCGUAUAUUAUGAUUUGCUGUGUGGUUGUGCGUGGGAUAUUUGUGUACAGCGGUGGUGGUUCACGUGACCAAAGCACGUGACCAAUCCUGGCCUGCUGGAGAACAGAGGGUAAUUUUGUCUUUUACCAUGCUUGCCUUUUCGUGUUCUGUUUUCAGAAGGGUUUUGAUUUCCGGGGAAAGGUAGAAAUUGGUUAAGAAAGAGGCUUGUGUUAUAUGUAAAUAACUCUUUUUUCUUGGGAAAAUUAAUCAAUUUUUGAAUAUAAUCUUUCCAUUGAAUGGUUGAAUUCAUUUUACAUGGCAUAAUCUUGGGAUAAUGAGAUUUUAAAAUAAUUUUAAGAGAUUUUAGCUAAUAUUUUUUUAAAAUAAAUUAUUAAGAAGAAGAAAAUUUAAAUGAUGGUGGAUCCCACACUAAUGAUUUAAAUUUGUUAGUUAGUUAAUAGUGUAAAUAGUAUUUAUUGGUGGAGCGAAAGUGGGUUCCAUUUUUAAAGAUUUUAUUAAAGAUUGUUUUCUAUUGGGAGAUAGGUUACUCAUUGGUGGAAAUAUUAUUAAUAUAACAUUGAAUUAAUGGCGCAUAAUCCGACGGGAAAGCGUACAUUAAUAGCAUCUUUCACCUUCUAAAAACUUUACCGUCCAUCUCCUAAAUCCUAAUCUUUAAAGUUUAAACAAACUAAAAAUAUAUUAAGAACUCAAGAGGGCUUUGACAAAUCAAGAUUUUACAGGGAGAAUACGUAGUUACCAUAAUUUCAUGAUACACUUUUAAAUAGGUCUGAAGAAAACUCUCGAACCAAAUUGAAUUGAACUGAGCGGUUGUUCUUAAGUUAAAUACUCGAAUGAGUAUCUGAAUCGAAAACUGAUGGGUUCAGUUCGGUUCUCGGUUCUAAAUUAAAUCUCCCUAAUUUUUUUUAAUUAACUUAUUUUAAAAAGUCAAAUUAUUUUAUUUUUUCUAAAUAAAUUUGUUAAUUAGUUAAUUUAGCUGAAAUUCAAAAAUAUGAAUUUUCUAUAUCUAAUAUUCAGUUCAAAGCCAACUUAAUCAGAUUGAUCCAAAUUUUAUCCAAAUCUGUUAAUCUACUGUAGUGUCAUUUCUAUCGUUUUGGAGAAAUCGAAUUGAAAUUCGAUAACGCAUCUCUUAAUUAUAGUGAGUUCUUUAUCUUCAUUUUCUUGUGAUUUUAAAAAUCAAAUCUAUGAAAAACUCUGGACUACGUUAUUUUGUAAGAGUUAAAAUUGAAUAUAUCAUUAGUUGAAUUAAUAUAGUUUUGUAAAUAUUAAAUUUUUUAAUCAUAAUACGAAACCGAAUCGAACUGAUCUGAACCGAAUGAAACUGAACCUGAACAGUUCCAUAAUUAAAUUUGGACUCAAUGGUUCUACUUACUAAAUACCCAAAAAUUUCUAGAACCAAACUAAAUCGAACCGGAUCAUAUUCAGCCCCACUUUUAAAUAAAAAAAAAUUGUAGAAUUCUUUAAAAAAAUUAGGUGAUAAUAUUUUGUGACAUCUGAUAUAUUUUUGUGACUAUAUUUAAUCAAGUAGAUCACGAUCACAAUUUAUGGUCACUCUCACAUACUAAUUACAAAGCGCAUAUGAUCUCUGUUGCAAAGACACAUUAGUGUGUCAUAUUUUCAUAUUUUAAUGCAAAUCAUACAUUUAAUAGGUUAGUCACAAAUUAUCGAAUAACUUAUCAAAUUUACUUUCACCUCACCCCACCUCACCCUACUCUACUAUAAUCGACAUCACCGAAAUCACCAUCGUUGACUCAAAUUCACAACCUGUCACCACCUCCAAUGCACCAGCACCCCACCGUCGACAACACCCCCAAAACGCUCAUGUAUUGUGUAGGGAUCGAUCUUCUAUAGCCUAGGCAAGGUGUUAUCACCUGCUGUACAAAGGAAACCAAGGUAAUUUGAUUUCUUGUUGAUGGGAAGCACUUCGCACCCACCUCUUACAAGAAAUCUUUUGUACAAGCUCUUACUGUAAUUAAUUGAUAUGACAUUUCUAUAGCAAGUAUCUAAAAGUUCAAAUUGUCAGUUUAUAUUUCAGGGGUUAGACCUAGACUCUGGGGUGAUCAAUUUCGAGGAACAUUAAAUGUCAAUCAGCCUAUGAUUGAUGAAGUAAUGCCUAGGAGGACACAUUUCGACCAUCAAGAUGAAGCUACAUGUAUCUUUAUCUAAUGGUGUCAAUUCCUCAUUUUCUAUGAUAAAAGCUCACGUAUGGUUCUAAUUGAAAAUAAUGCAAUUUUAUACAUUUAACUAUAACAUUGCUCUCUCAUUAUUUGUUCCCUUCGUAUACUUCCAAAUUCGAACCCCUUUUUUUGUGGUUCACGUCUUUAGCAUGUUUCGCAUUCAAAUAUUUAUUCACAAAUAAACUAACUAGAUCGUCGGAGGCUGCUUUUCCCACCACUAAAGAAGGUCACGUGCUCGAACGAUUUGUCCAAGAGUGCAGGAAGAAAGCUAUGUGAAAGUGAAUGGAAUUGGGAUCUGUGGACCACAUUCUCAAAGAAUCGAACAUUUCCCGCUUCGAAAAUUUAUCUGAUAUCGCGAUCUUAAAAUUUGUAACCCCUUAAUCUUUUAGAAUAUCUAAUAAAAUAGCAACUGACAGUUCUAUAGUCCAUUUUCCUUUUAUUUGACCUAUAAAGCCUUACCUUAGUUGGAUAACCCCAAAUUUGCAAGUACUUUAAAAUAGGUUUCUUACCAGUUCAAAGCUUGUAAGGGAUUUUGACAUUUGUUUUACUUGGAACUUUAUUGAGAAUUUAAGUUGCAAUCUUUUGUUCUUUUUUUAGAGAGAUUCUGGUAAGGUGAAAUGACUAAUCAUACUCAUUGCUAUGUCCUUAAGUAUUCUAUUUUAUCUCUCAGUAACAUCAUUCAUGUUAGGAAACUCUACCAUGGUGUACUGUGUGACAAUUCAGCAUUUCUUUAGGAAUUUUGCAAAAGGUAAUGGACGUUAUUCUUCUGAUCUGUUAUAUCUACCAUAGUAUUCACCACUAUGAUCAGAUCUGACAUGUUCUAUUCUUUGUUGAGUUUAUUUUUAAUCUUAACCUUAUAAGUCUUGAACAUGUCAGUGAUUCAAAUUUCUAAUAAAUAAGAUACAGGUAGCCAUAAAGAUAAAAAUCAUCCACGUACGUAAUAAAUGAUUGUUGACCAUUUCAAGAGGUCGAAGGGAAUGAUCCACAUAUAUCCAUAUGAAUUAGUUUUAAGAUGUUAAAAAUUUUAUUGGCACCUCAUUUCCUUAUAUUUGUUUGUUUCCACUUGAUGUAAUUAACAUAAACACUUAAGUUUGAAAUAUUAAGGGGAUAAAAAAUUCUACCUGACACAAGCUUUUUCAUUCUCUUUUGAGAAAUGUGACUUAAACGCUUAUCGUAACGAAUUAAAAUUCUCAUUGAUUAAUUUACGUUUAAUACCACGUGAAUUUACAUGAAAUAUUUUUUUUAUAAGUGGCAAUCGUAUUAAAUAAAUAUAUGAUAAUCAAGAACUGGUACCCACAAUAUUUGAAUUAAGAAAAAGGCUAAACUGACUAUUUCCAAUUAAAUAAGAAAAUAGAAACAAAAUACAAAUUUCAUCUAAAAGAGGGUACCUCAAAUGUCUCUUUCAAAUCCAAACAAUAAUCAGUUUUAAAUAAUAAACUAAAAGUCUUUGUAGCCUCAACUUUAACUGAUUUACCAUCGUCUCACAUAAAUGAAUCUUUUAGUAUCAAUUAACUUUCGACUAUUCAUAUUAAAUAAAUAUAUGAUAAUCAAGAACUGGUACCAACAAUAUUUGAAUUAAGAAAAAGGCUAAGCUGACUAUUUCCAAUUAAACAAGAAAAUAGAAACAAAAUACAAUUUUCAUCUAAAAGAGGGUACCUCAAAUGUCUCUUUCAAAUCCAAACAAUAAUCAGUUUUAAAUAAUAAACUAAAAGUCCUUAAAGCCUCAACGUUAACUGAUUUACCAUUGUCCCACAUAAAUGAAUCUUUUAUCAUCAAUUAACUUUCGACUAUUCAGGCAACCUUGCAUAGACACACUUAUGUGAGUAGUGAACCUGAAUUUAUUCACCAAGUGUGUCUAGGUAUUGAAACUAAAAUAGUCUCAAAACAAAUUAAGGUAGAAAAUGUACUUUUCUUUACGUUCCAAGCGUGGAACUUAGUAUAAACCCUCUUGACAUGUCUGGGAUUUUCACAAAAGUAAUAGUCGGAUACUUCAUUUUUAGGCUUUUGUUGUUUCUUUUGAACUGAACCAGAUGCUUUCUUAUCCUUCUUUCUUUUCUUAAACUCAUCAUUAAAGAUACUUGUCAAGUGAGUAUUUUUCCUUUCUUCUUUUUGUACAAGAUAUGAAGUGAGUUGAUUGAGAGCCUAAUUCCACAUUUAAUAGUUGUAACAGACCUUAAAUUAGCUUAAUUGUGCAAGAAGAGAAAUCAAAGCUAAAUGCGCAAGCAAAUCAUUAGACAACUCAAACUUUAAUGCCUUUAGUUUUUAAACAGGAUGAGAAAUCUCCAUGAUGUACUCUUGUAUGCUUUCUUUAGCUUUAUAUUUUAGUGAAACUAAUUUAUCCAGAAGCGUAUUAGUUUUGACCUUAUUAUUUUUCACAAAACAUUUUUCAAUUUCGUCAUGAAAUGUCUUAGCAAUAGUUACCUUAUCAGACACAAUGCCUAUAAAUGUUAUUGAAAUUCCAUACUUUAUGAUCAUAAGACUUGUGCAAUUUGAAUGAUCCUACUUAUCAAAGACCCCUUUUCACUAAAGAAACUCUCAUUCGUAAAAGCAGUGGGUUGUUUAAUCAUUAACACAAGGUCUAGAUUCAUGUAGUCAUGAACGAUAUGAACAUUCUCUUUCUAGUCCUUAAAAUUGGUUACAUUAUCACAUGAAUGAGAUUGAUGUUGGCAGAUGUAGCAGAAGUGGAUGAAUUAACUGAAUAGGGAACUUAAUCAUAAAUAACUUGUUCACGUGGGAAUCUAUAUUAAGCAAUUAAUAAAUUCAAAUAAUGAUGGGCCCAUCACAGUAGACCGAACAUAACAUUGAAAUUUAGUUUUUGGAUAGAAAUAUCAACUUGCAAGUGGUGCUCUUGAUGUUUUAACGCCCAAAAUUCUAAUAACCUAGCGCGUUACCAAGCUUAAGUUCUUUAAUGUAGAUAUCCAAAAUACAAUAUUAAUGAAGGUUUUUAAAUUAGAAUUUAUUUAAUCAAACUAUAUAAUCAUGUUAUAUAUUUUUUUAUUUGUUUUUAACAAAUAAACAUAGAAAUAUUUUGGAACAAAAUGAAUUAAAAAAGAAAAGAAAAGAAAGUUGGAGGAGUUCCUACGGUUGCACAAUGAGUUUGCAAAAAUUAUUUGACCUAGCAAACCUUGAAGAAAAUUUAUGAAAUUUUACAUAAAGGUAAAAACUCAUAUAUGUAUGACAUACGAAAAUUCGGGAUCCUGAAGACUAUGUUUGGAGCACGAAAUGAUUUUUCGAACAAGCUGAUCUAUGUUUUCCGAAUUUGACUGUCACAGUUUACUAAAGUUGCUGUGGUAAAUUCUACGGGACUUGGAUCAACCUAUUUUCAAUUGCAUAUGGUAAAUAACUCUCAGGGGAUCAUUUUCCAAUUAAAAACAUGCUAAAAUUUUAAAUAUGAUGACCAUAGCACAAUUUUAAAAAUAGUGGCAAAAUUAUGAAACUUACUAAAAAUACACAUUCAAACAUUAAAACUUUUCCGUCUCAAAACACGAGUUUAAACAACUAUUUCUGGGACACCCAAUGAUUAUUAAACAUAAAAGUAGCAAUAUAAAACAUAAGAAAUAAAUUUCUCUAAAAAUAGUGCAUGGCGUUCAUGCUGAACCACUGCCUAAUUUCCGAUUACUUUGAAAGGGUUAAAUAGGAGUGAGCACCUGAAAGAAAUACUCAGUAGGCUACACGUGCUAUAUGAACAUAAUAAUCAUAUAUUUAAUCACACAUUCUUACAUGUUGCUUUCAUAAAUAAGUAAAUCGAAAUCAAACGAUCCACAUAGAGUUUUGAUGAGCCUCUUUCGACCAUCAAUUUAAUAUAUAUACUUAAAGUUCUGAUGGGCUUUUGCGACCAUUAGUUUAAACAUAUAUAAAUCUUUCUUUCAUAAAAGUUUAAGAGAAACUGUAAAAGCACUUCAUAUACUUCAUGAGCAAAUAUAUCGAAUAACAUGCUUAAAUAAAAAUUAAAUUCAUAUAACGACAACUUCGCGUAGGAAUCCUACCUCACUUCUUGGUGAUGACGUAGCGAAUCAAGAUUCUUUCCAAAACUUUUCUAAAGGUUAGAGGUGAAAUUGAUUUUCUGACUUCCCUGCUAUAUUUCUUUGAAAUUUUGAGAAGUCGUGUAUGACAUAAAGUUGGAUGAAAAUUGAAUUCAAAAUAGCAGAAUUUGUUUCUUGUUACAUGAUUAGGAUAGGGGCUUAGCUAAUUCUAAAUUUUUUUUAUGACUUAAUCAAAAAUAUAUAUUUGACUUAAUCCAAAUUCAAAUUUAAUUUAAAUUGCAUAAUUUAAAAAAUAAAACUAAUUCCAAAUAACUUUCAUACUAAACCAAAAAUAUUAAAAAUACCAAAUUCCAUUUCGCACGUGGCUGCCCAAAAUAUAUUAAAUCCUUAAUUGACUUUAAUUAAAUAUGUGGAUUCUUUGAACAUCAAUAUCGUGAGCCUAAUUUAUCUGAAAUAGAUUUUUCUCGAGUACAAAAUUCUCCAUUUAAUAUGAGCUUUGAAACAAGCCCAUUAUCGAUAUAAAAUUUCUCGGUAGAUGAAUACUUGAUGAUUUGACCGAAAGCUAAAAUUUUUACACAAAGAUUUAUUUUAAAAUUAGUCCCACAAUAUCUCAAAUUAUCAAAACAUGUCAAGAUGAAAUAGAUGAAAAUUUAUUUUUGGUUGCUACAAAUGAAGUAAUCAAAUAUUGACAAUAAAUCAUUUCAAACAUCAAGUCUAUCUUUAGACUAACUUAAUGUUCACAUAUGGAAAACCUUAUUAUUAUCACAUAUUUAUUAUCGCAUGUGUACAUAUAAUUCGAUCAAAUAUUGACCUUCCUUUGGACGACCAAUACCCGCUUUAAUUACACAUGCACAAUUAUCCAAAUAUUCCACAUACAUUAAUUUAGGCAAGAGAGGUUACUAAAGUAACAUAUUGUUUCAACUAAUCUAUUUUAGAAAAUUAGUAAUCCGAAAGAAACUUUAGUAUCAAAAUUUGAAUUUGAUUGCCCUCCUUUUUCUUUUUAUUUUGUUCUAACAAACAAAAAUAAAAUAAAAUUGUCCUGCAGCGCUAACCAAUGUCGUGGUGAUGUCGCCCUACAAGGGGACAGCUUUCGGGCGCUCCAACUAUCCUUGUUCAUCCUGUUAUAUAUAUAUAUGGAAUGUGACAGACACCAUUUAUCACCAUAAUUAACUUUCAAAAAUAUAAGAAAUUUAGUCCAUAUUUUAGCUAGUGAUGUCAAUUACCAACUCUCAAUAAAGAGACACAAAAAUCCUAUAGCAAUUUAUUGGAUUAAAGAAUUUUUUGGUUCUUCAUUUAAUAUCCAUUUGAAUUCUCAAUUCUACAUCAUUAUUGAUACAGUAAUGAUCUAACUGAUCAUGCCAAAUAAUAAUAAAUUUAGCAAUUAAACUUCUGGUUUAAUACAUUAUAUUAAUACUAUAUAGUAAAAACUAAGAAAAUAUGAGUAAUAUAUAUUGACACUUCUAGAACCUUACAAUCAAAUCUUUAUAAUUCAAGAUUAUAUUGUAUUAAUUUUCAUCAUUCUUACAUUUUUCUUUCAAUGAGUCACCAUGAGUUUUGUUGGAUGCUUGUAUGUUGCACAAGUACAUUUACACCCGUCUCAUGACCUAAACACUACAUCAAAUUAUAAAGUAUUUUUUACUUAAAAAACUUCAAGUUUGUGACAAUACUUGAUUCAAAUGAUUUUGUAAUUUUUGAGAAGCGUGCUUCUUUGAAAGCACCAUCAUAAUUUUUUUCGAAAAUAUUAUUAUGCUCCUGUUAAAUUAGAUUUUUAGUAGAUUUUGAUAAAAAAAAUUUGAAAAGUGUGGUUAAAAAGUAAUGGAGCCCAUGUAAUACGUGGCUAAAAUUAAGUUUGACUUAGAUUAAAAUCUAAUUUAAAUCAAUACCAAACAAGGCCUAUGUGUAGAAUCAUGCUUCUUCAAGAAUAUUGGCAUGUAAAAUUUUAUGAUUAUUUAUAAACAACAAAAUGUUCUUCUAGAAUAUUAAUACGUAUAAGUCAUUCUUUAAAAUAACCAAAUUACUCUUAUAAAAUAAUGGAUUAUUUAUAUAUAAGGUAUGCUUCUCCAGAAGCAUUAACAUAUUAUCAGACUCAAACGUAUAUAAAGUUAAUCUUCGAUACUAACACAAUAUUUCUUUUAGAAUGUUGAUUUGUGUAAAAAAAUUAUUUUUUCAGGAAUAUCAAAAUAAUAUUUUUUUUCUUAAAAUUUUUUGUAGAUGUGUUAUUUUUCUUCAGAAUUUCAACAUAAUUUUCUUCAUAUUAAGUUGUGCUUUUUUGGGAACACAACAAAAUAUAUAAUCUUCAAUAGUAUAAAAAUGAAUUUCUUAUGAAAUAUUGAUUUAACAGUUCGUUCUAUCUUUCGAGUUAAACAAUACAAUAUUCUUCUGCAAAUAUUGAACGAAUAUAAAGUCAUUUUCUUCAAAAGUAAUGACAGAAUAUUUAAAAAUUGAAAUAGAUUUAGAUAGUUUUGAGUAUUUUCAAAUUCUUAAAAAAAUUGAAAAAAUGGUGUUUUAAAAAAAUUUACUAUCUUCUAAUCAAUAUAAAAUUUUUAAUAUUGUUUGCAUAGAGAUUUCUUACAAAUGAAAAGUAUGAUCUUGAUUUUAACAGUUAAAUAUGAAGAACAAUUUAUGAACUUACUAUCAAAAUUUCUUGAUGAACGGAUUGUGACUUACUGAGAUAUCAAUUUUUGAUCACAGCAACUGCAUGCUGUCUAGAUUCUGUGAAUUUUCUGAACUAUUGAUUUCAAAUUUUCUCCAUAUUUGCUAAUUAGAAUCUACUUCAUGAUCUAUUUUAAAUCACUUUAGCCUCUAUUUAGCCCCUAUUAAAAUUGUAAUUCAUGUUUUACUCUUUUCUUAUCAACAACAUAUUCUCCAAUAAAGUAAUAUUACAUGUGACCCAAAACUCCUUUUUUUUAAUUACACAUUUUUCAAAAAAUUAUUAUUCUAAGAUACAUUUUUCCCAAAUUUUCGUUAUAAUGGGGCCAAACAAGGGCUCAAUAUAUUGAUGCUUAUACUUGUUCGAGAGUAUAAUACAAUAUUCUUUGAGAAUAUUGGAGAUGAGGUGGCAACUUGUACCCAAUAUGGGCAGAAUAUCAAUUCCAUUCUUUUGAAAUAUUAACAAAAUAGAAAGUUACUUUUCUUGAAAAUUAUAACUCAAGAUUGAGUUAUUAAUCAUAUAACAUUUGCUUUUAAGAAGUAAUAUCAUAAGUUUAUUAUAAAUAAUAGAUCAUUCAAAUUCUAUUACAAGGGAGCAAAUGAAAACAUAAUAUAAACUUGUAUUCUAGAUAACCAUAAAAUAUUCUUCUAGAAUAUUUAUGAAUUUAUGAAGUUGUGAUUGCUAGAAUAAAACAAUUUAUUUUCAUAAAACUUUCAUAUAGAUUGUAUCUCGGAUCGUGUUACUUUCUUUGAGAUAUGUGUUACUUCUAGAGCAUGAAAAACAAAUUAUUAUUAUUAUUAUUAUUAUUAUUAUCAUCAUCAUCAUCAUCAUCAUCAUCAUCAUCAUCAUCAUCAUCAAAUUUUUGUUUAAAAAUGAUGUUACUAUUAUUUAUUCAAGAGCAAUGAAUCAAUAUUUUUCUGAAAUAUUGAAAUUUUAAUAUCAUGUUUCACCAAGAACAUCGGCAUGGAAUUCAUUUAGAACUACAAAAUAUUAUAAAAUAUUGAAUAAAAAAUCACAUUCAACUAAAUAUUUAUCUAUCAUAAAUUGAUAUAUUCAAAUCAAUAUAAAGAGAUCGAAUAGCUAUACCUCUUUGUGUAAUAUAAAGUUAAGAGAAUACUGGCAUUUUCUUUGAGCGAACAAAAAGAGUUUCUUUGUAAAUUCAAUUGACUACACUUCUUGUCUUUCUUUGAUUGAGAAAAGAUCUACCUCAAUUGGUUAGAGAUUUAUAAGUAGAAAGAGAAAUAAAUAUUGUUAACUCUAUUAACUAGAACUUAGUUCUAAUAACGUGUUAUGAAUUAGAAAGAAAAAAGAAGUCAGUAGACUCAUGUGUAUUUUGUUGAGAAUCAAAAUCUCAUAUUUAUAGAAGAAUUAUGAUUGCAAGGAAUACAACAGUCAUAAUAACUAGGGCUACAGGAGUAUAAUAGUCAUUUGCGAAUAAACAUAUAAUUUCCAACAUAUGGUAAUUAAUAUCUGUAAGUCAAUAACUUACUUCAAAAUAAUUAUUUCAACCACUUUUGAAUCAAACUAUGUUAUCUUGCACUCUUGCUAAUUGGUAAUUUUAUCAGGGAAAAUAAAACAUAAAAACUUCGUCUACGAAAAACAAUACCUUUUAGAAAAUUAAGUGAGAUUUCUGCUAAUUAUUUUAGGUUAGUGACUCAAAGGUUAGAUAUUUUCAAUUGGACAUUCUUGAAUCUUUAAACUUAAUACCUCCAAACAAAACCAGAGGACUUUUCAUAUACAAAACUUUUGGGGCUUGCUUGGGAGUUCUUUCCCUACUGAUUUUGAUUGAUUUUGGGUGACGCCACUUAUAAGGGGUUAAAAAAUUCAAUGCUCGUUAGUUUUUUUAGACAUCGAUUUUGGAUCGUUUAAAAGCCACAUAAAAUCAAUAUAAUGUAAUUUUGACCAGUUCUCUCAACCCACCAAAAUUAUAAUUUUUGGCAUUUUCUUAUAUUUUCUUCUAAUUUUACCAAUUAUAAAAUAAUUAUUUCCAACCAACAUAUUUUGUUUAAAACUAACUUGUAAAUAAAAAUAUAUUAACUAAAACAUUAUUUAUAAGCAAAACAAAUUCAUUAUACUUAAAAAAAAUACUUAUAAGUAAAAUAUUACUUUCGUGUAAAUUUGUUUAUAAAGUAAAAGUACUACUAAUAAGAUAAAAAAUUACUUAUAAAAUAUAAAAAGUUACUUAUGUGAAAAAAUAAUUUAUAUGUACAAAUUAUUUAAAAGUAUGAAAUUAAAUUAUAAUUGUAAAGUAUAUUUAUGAGUAAAAAAAUACUAACUUAAAAUUUUAAAUAAAUAUUGAAAUUUAUUUAACUUUUUAAAUUAAUUAUUAACUUAUAUGUAAAUUUACCUAUAAGUAAAACAUCACUUAUAAGUAAAAAAUUUCAUACAAUUAUAAACUAAAAAUUUUACUAAUGGAACAUGUGUAAUUUUAUUGUUUUAAAAAACAUUCAAAAUUGGUGGAUAAUAAACUCCCAUGUAUGGGUUGAACUGUUUUAAAAUCAUUGAAAAUCGAUCCACUCAUAAAUGCUCAAAAUCAGUACUUUAAGAAACGUUUAUAACCAAUACCUCAAAAUCAAUUAUUUAAACAAAGCUUAUAACCGGUACCGCACACAUGAAUGCUUAAAAUCUAAGAAACUCAUAUCAAAACCCAAAGCCCACAGAUCUCCAAAGAGGAUAGCUCACAUUCAAAUCCUUAUAUAAAAAAUAUGAAGAAAAAAAGAAAGCAGUUAUAUACAUGAGAAUACAAUAAACCCAAGAAACUCGUAUCAAAAUCCAAAAAUACGCAAGUCUCCAUAGAUUUCUCACUGUUCGACCAAGAGGAUAGAGUGAAUAGCGAUGAUUGAGAAAACAAGAAAUAGAUAUAGUAGAAGGGAUAGAAGAGUCAAGUGAGAGAAAUCUAGAGAAUAGAAAGGCGUAAAGAACGAGUAACACCAACGAACAAAAACUUAAAAAACCAAUUGAACACAAAAAAUUAGCUAAAAAUUUAAAAAUGUUUAAAAACCCCGCAAAAAAUGUGAACAAAAGUAAAACAAAUGGGACAAGCCACAAAAAAAAAAAAAAAAAAAAAAAAAAAAAAAAAAAAAAAAAAAACAAAAAAAAAAAAAAAAAAAAAAAAAAAAAAAAAAAAAAAAAAAAAAAAAAAAAAAAAAAAAAAAAAAAAAAAAAAAAAAAAAUCAAAAAAAGAAUCCAAGAAAAACAAUUAAAAAAAUGAACAUGCCAAAAUGUACAGACUUCUUACCCUCAAAACAAAAAUAAUCUAAAUCUACAGAAGCUAUGAUGGAAAAUUGUAGUACAACAAAGCAAUGAUCAUGAUUAUAGGAUUUCUCUAGAAGAUCAUGAUUUUAGGAAUUCUGUAGAAGAUUUGGAGGUAAUUAGAGGGCAGAAAAUGGAUUCCAAGGGAGGUAAGAAGCUUCAGGGUACUUUUAAAAUUGGAUUAGUCAAAUCAUCCAAUUAUCACUUUUGAACAAAUGAAUAUUUCCACAAAGGUCUCUUGAUUGUUGAAAGACAAAUAUGCUCUUAAAUAUAUUAUACAAUUAAAAAAUAUUAUUUUGUUUAAAAGAUAUUAUUACCCUUUUAGUUAACAAAUGAAAACUAAACACUCCCCACUUAAAAUUUCAAAAUCAGAUAACUUUUAUUAUUGGUUUAUUUCAAUACAGAUAAAAAUUUUCUCAUCGCUUAUUUGCUUCAACCUCAAAGUCUCAAUAAUUUAUCAAACAUUGAACAAGGAGAAUUUAUUUAUUUUUAAUCACUUUGAAUCGUUAAGUAUAUUUAUGUAUGUUUAAUUUUGUUUUCGUUACAUUAGUACUCGUUUUAAUCAAUAAUCUUAUUUCGGCAUAGUUAAUAUAUGUAGAAAUUUUUUUACUAGAUCUAUAAUUUUUUAAGUAUGAACAAGUCGAUGAUGAGGAUUUGCAUGUCGAGUAACUGUUUGAAACAAAGAAAGAUUUGCAAGAAGCUGUGCACCGGACGACAUUAAAAUACAAAUUUGAGUGUAAGGUAAAUAAAUCAUAGAAGUCGUUAUUGACGAUUGUCUGCAUCGACGACAAUUACUGUUGGUGCUUGCGAGCGACUAAGAUAGACACGAAUGAGUUAUUUGUGGUUUGCAAGUAUACGCGGGGAAUAUACUUGCUAAGUGAGAAUUCUUCAAAACGAUCACAGGCAAGCUGGAGCAUGGUUUAUUGGUUGACGGAUAAUGCACAAGUACUAUGACCCACGAUCUACAGACCCUUUGACAUCAUUAACGACUUCCGUCGAGAGUACGGAAGGGUCAUGAGUUACCAAAAGGCCUGAAAGUCUAAAGAAUGCGCAUUUAAAGAUUUAAUGGGCUUGGCUGUGGAAAGCUAUGCUAAAAUGGUCAGGCAUUGCCAUAAUAUGGGGAAAACUAAUCCUGACUCCACAUUUUUUUAUUGAGACGAAUGAUGAAAAUUCGUUUAUGUUUUUUUCAAGGGUCUUGGACAAUGCAUUCGAGAAUUUUGAAAUACGAUGCGAACCGUAAUUUUAGUCAAUGGUACAACUCUGAAAGUUAGACACAAAGGCAAAUUGAUUAUUGCUCCUUGUCAAAACACCAACAUCCACAUUUAUCUUCUUUUAUUCGGCAUAGUGGACAGUGAUAAUGAUCUGUCGAUGCGUUGGUUUUUUUACAAAGCUAAUGGAAAUUAUCGGAGAAGUCGAGGACCUUGCCUUUGUAACUGAAUGGAGAUCGUCUAUAAUAAAUGUUAUCACCGAAGUUUUUCUUGAGACACGUCAUGGGUAUUGCAUAUACCACAUACAAGACAAUUGAAGAUUAGGUAUCAGGGCAAAGUCAUCAUUUCAUUGUUUAGAAAAACGGUCGAAGCUUACAGUGCUGAAAAGUGUAAUAAGUUAAUGGUCGAAAUUGCAAGUAAAUCAUCCUCGGUAUGGGAUUAUCAAACAAAAAUGGGGAUCAAACAUUGGGCUAGGUUACAUUUUUCAAGACUUUAAUAUAACAUGAGGAUGUCGAACAAUGCAAAGUCUCUCAAUGCACUAUUCAAGAAGGACCGAGAGUUACCAAUUCUUGCAAUGAUCAGGAACAUUUGUAACAAACUGUAGUAGUAGUUUCAUUAUCAACAUGUGGAAUCACAGAGUUGCAUGGCAUGUUAGCCCCAACUCAAGAGGACAAACUCUUCAAGCCUGUUGAGGUUUCAAGAAAGUUAAAUGUGAAACCACUGGAUGAGUUGUGCUUCACCGUGAAAUGUGCACGUAAUGUGAUAUACAUUGUAGACUUGAUUGAUAACACAUAUACUUACAGUUGGUUUCUGUUAGAGAGUUUUCCAUGUGAGCAUGCAGUUGCGGUGACUAUGUAUCGAGGCUUUGUAGCGAGAAAAUAAUGCUCUCCUUAUUACACUAUCGAUUCUCGGAGAGCAACGUAUGCUGAGACUAUAUUUCCUCUAUUGAAUGAAGUCAAGUGGACAAUUUCCGACUAUAUUCUUCCACUUAAUACAAUGUUGCCAAUAGAAGUUGAACCGCGUGGUCCUGGAUGUCCACGUACUUUUAGAAUACCAUCUAUCGGAGAGUUUUCUCGAUCGUGCAGGUGUGGUAGGUGUCCCUCAAAUGACAAUUAGAUCGAUGUGUAAUGAUAUUGCUGUUAAAUGAACAAUAUUUACAUCUAUUUUACAAUAUUCAAAAUUAUUUUGUAAUUAUAAAAAAAUUCAAUCUAUAAUAUUUACAUAAAUUUUAUAAUAUUUACAAUUAUUGCAUAAUUACAAAAAAAUUCAAAGUACAAUGUUAUAUAAAUUUAACAGUAUUUACAAUUAUUUCAUAAUUUGAAAAAAAUUCAAUAUACAAUAUUUAGGAAUCACAAUUAAAUUCGUAUAAAUUGCACAAUAAGUUACUCCUCCAACUCUGUAUUCACGAUUGGUUGAUUCCAUCAACCUUAUGUGCUAGUCUAUCCUACACAAUCAUCCUGCUCGUCUAGUCAUUAGAGGAACGAUCACAGCCACCGACUUCAGGUUUUACUCAAGCUGACCAUCUGUCAGACAUGAAUGAUCGGAGUCGUACACAUAUAUAGUCGAGUCGGCGAAAACGAUCUCUAUGACAAUACAAUGAUGACUUGCAAUCACUGGAAUGUAAAUAUGUGUACAAUCCUACCAUGGCUUUCCCCUGACACUCGCAUGAUACAUUGAUGACCCACUCGAGUAUAUAAUCGGGCACUGUGUACUCGUUAUCUAUAAGUUGGAGCGACUGAUACUCAAUGGUAGCAGUACGGACGAACUCAGUGUUCAAUUCUAUCGACAUGAAUGUGAAAUUAUUUUGGAUAUAUUUCAGCUCGAUCGUGCAACAAAUCUAUGGCUAUGUCGAUGUGCUACAUCAAGAAGCACAAAAAAGAGGUAAUUAUUUCAUUUAAUAAACCAAAAAUUAUAUAUACAUAAAAAAUUACAAUAUGAUUAUUUCACUUACAUCGUCGAUAAGCGAAGCUCCCUAAGUGGUGAUGUUAUGAAACCACUUGUAAAUGUCCAAAAUCGUCAUUUGAACUAUAGUGCGGCUAGCUCUUUAAAAAUAAAGAAAAUGUUAAAAGAAUAUAUAAGAGUUACCGUAGCGUACUUUACUAAAAUCAUACAAUACUUACUUGGGCACAAUUCCUUUCCACUCAGUCUAGUAUGUUUUCCACUUGGCAUUGUUUAUCCCCUGAAAAAGAUUGGGGUACGCCCCAUCGACGAACCUCCUCAUCUUCGUCUCAGCUAUGAAGGGAGAGACGGCUUACUAUGACGGCAAUCUGGACUUCUUGUCGACUACCUGCUCCAACAUGUCAAAAGCACGCUUCUUACCUUCAGUAACGGUGUACGUUCUCUCCUCCUGUGCCUCGGCGAUCGUUUCUUCUCGAGGCUUGCCACCUCCUCCAUCAUCUCAUUCUCUACCACAUUUCCCUUCCCGAUGGGGCCAUCAUCUAUCGCUCUACAGAUAAAAAAAUGAUUAUAAUGCAUCGACGGAGGUAAUCAUCGAUCAACUAGAUCACGCUUAUACACAAAUAAUAUUAUUAAAAAUUAUUAAGUUAAUUAAUAAUUGCUAAUUCAUAUAAAACGAUAAUCAAUAAAUUAUAUUCAAUUCACAUAUCUAAUCUUGAUCUAGGAUCAAAUCGGGCAUCUGGUUGUCUUGAGUGUGUGGACUGACUAAUUCACACACAAGACCUCGAUCCUCAUCCUCCAUCGACGACGUUAAAUCAGUUAUGACUUCAAUUUGACAUAUUGACAUUUGAACUAGUUAAUGAUUAUGUAAUGAGAUUUAAAGCUACGUACAAUAUAAAUCACAAAUGUAUAAUGCUCACAUGAGAGUCUUUGAGGGGAGUUGAUAACAAUUUCCCAAAUGGACAUCCGUCCGCUUGGGAUGCUCGACAAUUAUGCAUUCGAGGACAACGUGUCAUCCCUUGCCUAGCAAAGCAGGUACCUAAUAGGGGGAUAAUCUCAUAUGCCCAGAUUUGCAACACAUACAAUUAUUUUAUAUAAAUUCAGUAUACAAAAUAUUUUAACAUUGAUUAUGUUAAAUAUUUACCUGCAUAGCCAUGGGCAAUCAAUAGGUAUCAUUCUUACUCCCAGACCUCUUGGGCUUCGAGGGUGAUUUGGUGAAGAUAUGUACAGUGUCCUCAAAACAUCUCGUCCCCACAGAUAAUUGUUGAAAGCAUCAAUGUCGUCGACGAUCUCCAAAUGGAAGAUAUCGAUCACCGUCUUCUUGUGAUGACACCAUACCACACCCUCAAGGAUGUAGACCAGUCCUAGUUGCGGUUUGUCUAACAUCUGGUCAUACCCCCCAGUUGCACCAAUCAGCUGUGGAAAAAUCACUGUCCUCUGUCCCUGGAAAUAAGCGUCGUGCAGCUUGUUGCUUCUUUGGGUACCAUCACGAGUUGCUUCAUCGCCCCUAAUUUUUACUUUGGUCAUCAGGGCAAACUUAAAUAAGAAGAACGAGACGAACUUGCCCCCAGGUCGAAGUGGAAAGCAUCGUCGUCCACUGGCCUGAGCAAUUGACACAGUAGUGCGUCGAUGAUCUACCCGAAGUACUGGACCUCCCUCAACUGAGAUAGGGGCUAGAAGAAAUAUUGAUGUAGAAUACUCGCAUGCUGGUCAUCCAGUAGCUCCAGUACCAUAUUGAAACUAUCAAAGCUACUAUUCCAAAUAGUUUUUCCCAACAUUCGUCUCAACUCCUUAUCCAGGUGGUAUUCCAUUUCACAAAAAUUCAAAUGUUAGAAUAUUGAACAAAAGAGAAUAAAAUAAAGCAUAAUCUUAGAAAAUUAAACGAAUCGAAUUGUAACUACUAUACGAAAAAUGAAAAUUCAUUUUACAUCUAUACUAAUAAAAGCCUAAAUGAAUUGCAAACAAAAAAAAAAGUUAUUAAAAAAUUUAAUUUAAAUUGAAAGGAAAAAAGGAGAAAAAAAUGGAAAAAGCAAAGAAAAGCAAAGGCAAAAAAGAAAAAAAUUGAAAAAAAAAAAAAGAAAAAAAAAAGGCCGACUCUUUGGCCCAAACAAGGACUGGGCCCGAAUAGUCCACUUGACAAAACAAAACAAAAUGAGAAAAAAGGGAGAAAAAGAAAAAAGAAAAAGAAAAGAAAAGGAAAUAUUAAAAAAAAGGAAAAAUGAAGAAAAAUGAAAUAAAAGAACAAAAAAAAGAAAAAAUAAUUAAAAAUAAAAAUAAAUAUUAUUUAAUUAAAAUUGAAAAAAAAUUAUGUUUUACCAUAAAACGAAAACAAUUAAAAAGAAUUUUAAAUCAAACAACAAAUUAUAUUUAUAAUAUGAAAAAAAAAAUUUAAAACAAUUUUAAAAAAAAUUAUUAAAAAAAAAAAAGAAAAACAAAAACAAAAGAGUUGGUUUUCACCGACUGUCUUGCUGGCAAUGACGAGAUUUCUAGCGAGCUUAACUCUUUUUCUUCACCGUAGACCAUUCUAAACCCCUAAAUCUGCCUAAAUAACAUCUUAUAAACAUCAUACAUAACAAUUUAAUACACAAAUUCAAAAAACAUGCAAUGAAAAAUCAAUAGUUUAAACCUAAAAUAAAAAAGGAAAAACCCUUGUUGAAGAUAAUGAGCAAGUUUUGUGGUGAUCGGUGUUGGGUGGACUGUGAGUACUUUGAGCUCGACUAGAUCCCAACUGUAAACGUGAGAAUUUUUUUUUUCUUGUUUCCUCUCAUUUUCUUUGUUUGUGGAAGAUGAGGGUAUUUUUGGGAAAUGGUAUGUAAAAAUCUGUUAUAACAUUUAUCUUUUUUUUUCUUUUUUUUUUUUUUUUUUUCAAUGGUCAAAGAUCAGUGUGGAAAAAUGGCUGAGUCAAAUGGCCAGUUCCAUAUAUUUCCUCAUAAGCUUCCUGGGUUCAAAGUGUGUAAUGGAGUCAAAUGACGUAAAAACCCUAAGCAAUAUGAUGUUGUCUUGAUAUUCAGGCGACGACGUCGUUCUGAUUCAAAACGACAUCAUUUUUAACACAAGCAAAAUGAUGUCAUUUUUAGACCAACAUAAAUGAACAGUUGCAAUGCAUUGCCUCUUCUAUUAUAGGUUAGGUUAGGUUAGAUAGAAAAUCUUUAUGAUAUAUUCUUAUUUUUUAAAGCCAUCCCCAACUUUCUGAAAAGAAACAAUUGGUGCUUAGGAAUUGAACAAGGAAAGCAACAGAACGAAGCACGGCAAUGGGAUUUAAUCUUUAUAGCCAUCUACUCCCUAUUUAAUUGAUUUCACCUAAGAUAGCCAAACUUAAUGGAAUCGUAGACAUUGCAGUCACUUAAUUAUUUGCAAUAAUUGGUAAGACAAUUAAUUUGUCAUUAUUGAUCUUCAAUCCAAGUCAUAUCAAAAGUCUAGUGAACGGUUGAAAUAUCUUUGGUGGUCCAUAUUUGAAUUACAAUCGUGCUUUGUAUACAAUCAUGAAUGAUAAUUUUAUAGACAAUAUGUCAUGUGACAAAUUGUCAUUGAACAAUAUGAAAAACAACUUAUUUUUACAACCAAUAGUUUUUUGAUAACUCGUACAUUGUCAACCACACUGUCAUUCGUAGUUGUACAAAUAGAUUAUCUUUGGAUUUUGUACUCUGUCACUAGAUUUUCGUUUGCACACAAUUUGUUUAGAAAUAGAAACUUUAAUUAUAUACCAUCGAGAGCAAAAAGAGAGAGAGAGAGAGAGAGAGAGCUAAGAAUACAAGAAAUUCGUAAAGGUUCACAUUAAUGUGUGAUUAUAUUACUAUGAUGAGAAGAAAUUAAUAAGAGAAAAAUCGUACGCCCUACUUUCUCUAACUUAUCUCAUUUUUGGAUGAUAAUACAAAACAAUAACGAUUGUUACCUAUUUAUUAGAGAGAGAGAUUACGACUAUGAAAUUUUACGUACAGACUUUGCACAGUGACAAUAAUUAUGACAAUAAUUAUACUUCACAACUUAACAUUAUUAGUCAGGGUGAAUAAUAUUUUUAGGGAAGCACAAUAAUUCUAGUGCCUUGAAGACAUAAUUAAUGCCGAUCAUGUUAUCCAACACUUAAAUCGAACCAAAUUCCCGGGUCAACGUCAUAAUCAAAUAGAAACCACAAGAGAGUCUUAACAUUAGAUACAUGUCUAUGUACAGUUUGCAUUUAAUUACAAUUAGUAUAAUUGGAGUUACUUGCACUACUGCACUUAACCGUGCUAACUGUUGACAGUGAGCUUGAAACCAAACAUUCACAGGUAAUCGAUUAAAUGAUCUAAUCCUCGGAGAAGUUGCGUUAACUAUUGAAAACUGACAAUAAGAUCUACAUGAUGUGUGGUGGCGAUUAAAUUUAGAUUUUUUAGUAGAUUGUGAUUGAAAUUUUUGGAAUGUGUGGUUGAAAAGUUAUGAGACCCGUGAAAUAUGCAGUUAAUAUUGAUUGUUUGACUUUGAUUUAGAUUAAAAUUCAAUUUUAAUCAAAACCAAACAUGGGCUUAUUUUAUUAUAACCGUGGGUCGAUGUUAAAACACAAGCAUCAAGCAUUCGAGCUUCAUUUCAUUUCUUUCCUCUGCAUUAAAGUGAGUCUAUCAAAUGAUUUUGAUCUUGACAUUAGAAUUAAUAUUGGACCAUCUUUUGCCUGGCUAAAAUGUCACCUGGUUUGUGGCCAUCUCCAUUGCCUAGAAAUUUGAGAAUGUAUCAUUGUUGUUCUUUUUUGUUAUCUAUUCUUUUAUUUUAUCUUCCUGUUUGCCCAUAACCUGACAGGCUAGCUACUGAAAGCAGUGUCCAUUAGCUUGGACAGAAGUGUUUUGCUUUUCUCUAUACAUAUUUACUUUUUGGAUUAUUUGGAAAAAAAAAAAAAAAAGGGCUGAGGAAAUAUAACACCCUUACUUGUAUCAUUGCACGGGUUGGCACAUCCACAUGGCAACUUAAUGAAUUUUUGGAGGGUGUUUCUGUCGUUAGGUAUCACAGAUGCCAAAAUAUGAGAAGUUAGGACUUUGGAUAACAAUGUAGCAUAUUGAAUCAUAGUAUUUUAAAGCUUCCUACCAAAAUUCUGCUUACGCGGUUUCAUGAUCGGUGCCCAAGCUAGAGUAAAAGACGAGGGUUGAGGUAGGUUGACAGUCUUUGUCGAAUUAUGUGACAUAAAUCCUAUCAUAAAAAGGCUGACGAAUUUGAAAUCCAACAGAAUUCCGAAGUAUUUAAGAUUAUGAUGCAGAUUAGAAACUGCAAUAAAGGACAGUUCUCUAAGUUCAUCCCAAUAAAUUCUCCCAACUCCUGCUAAUUAGUCAAGAAAUUAUGCCUGUCAAUAUUUUCAAACUAAAAGCUCCUUUGUUUUGGCUUAGAUUUCUCCUCAAAAGCCUUUGUCAUGCACAUUUUCUACUGAGGAGAAUUACUUGUCCUCAAGAAUCCGAAUCGAAAUUUCAAAAGUAUUCUUGUUUUUCCCAUAAACAAGGUGAGCCUUUGGAUGCAACUUUGAUCUUUCAUAUGGAGGAAGCACUGUUAAAGUCGUCGUCUCUAUUUCCUUACUUCAUGCUGGUGGCGUAUGAAGCCGGUGGCCUCAUACGAGCUCUAGUUCUUUUUCUUUCCUAUCCAUUUGUUUGUCUAUUUAGCAAGGAAAUUGGGAUCAAGAUUAUGGUUUUAAUAUGUUUCUGUGGGAUAAAGAAAGCAAAUUAUCGGCUCGGAAGAUCUGUUCUGCCUAAGUUCUUUCUUGAAGAUGUCGGUUGUGAAGGCUUCCAAGUUGUGAUGAAGUACAAGAAAAAGGUAGCAGUGAGUGAUAUGCCUAAUGUGAUGGUUGAAGGAUUUUUAAGGGAUUGUUUGGAUGUAAAAGCUGUUGUUGGAAGAGAUUUGAAGGUGGUUUUGGGUUAUUAUGUGGGCUUAAUGGAGGAAAAGAGAGACUUGAAUAUUGUUAUGAAUGAGAUAAUUGGACAGGAAAAUAUGAAUCCUCUUCUAGUUGGUUUUGGUUCAGCCAACAAGUGUCUUAAUCAGCAAAUUUUUCCUCAUUGCAAGGUUGGUGGUACCAGGUCUUAUGUCAAAAUGUUCAGUCUGAUCAUUAUUCUGGAAUUUCUAUGAAUAAUCUCGUGUUUCCUAUUGUGACAGGAGGUAUAUUUGGUAACUUCAGCUGAGAAGACGGGCUGGCGAAUACUUCCACGGGGAAAUUAUCCAAAGCCAUUAAUUUUCCAUGAUGGAAGAUUGGCCUUUAGGCCGACGUAUUCUGCUACAUUGUCUAUGUUUGUAUGGUUACCAUUUGGUUUUCUCCUUAGCGUCAUUAGGCUGUUUGUCGCCUCAUUUCUACCUUACAAAGUAGCCAUCCCAAUCUUGGCCUUUUCCGGGAUGGUAGGUUCGGUAUCUAGACGACGUUCCAUAGAUCCCACGAUCUGGGAGGCAAAAACCCAAGGUGUAGUUUAUGUAUCGAAUCACAGAACACUUCUGGAUCCAAUCUACAUUUCAUUGGCACUCAUGAAACCAGUCAUUGCUGUUACGUACAGUAUAAGCAGAAUAUCGGAGCUUCUCUCACCGUUAAAAAGCAUUCGACUAACUAGGGAUCGAGCAAAGGACUUAAAAGUAAUGGGGGAAGUUCUUUCCCAUGGAAAUAUUGUAGUUUGCCCUGAGGGAACCACUUGCAGGGAACCAUAUCUGCUGAGGUUUAGCCCUUUGUUCGCUGAAUUGAGCGACGAUAUAGUUCCAGUUGCCCUCGACUCAAAGGUGAGCAUGUUUUACGGAACAACUGCAAGUGGAUACAAAACUUUAGAUCCUCUAUUCUUUCUCUUGAAUCCUCGUACGAUUUACACUGUCAAUUUUCUCGAGAAGUUACCAAAAUCCCACGCGUGUACCAGUGGUGAAUUAUCGAAGUUUGAAGUGGCCAAUUAUGUGCAGAAUGGGAUAGCAAAAGCCUUGGGAUUUGAAUGCACAAACCUUACAAGGAAAGAGAAGUAUAUGCUUUUAGCAGGUAAUGAAGGGACUCUCUGAAAAUUGAAACAAUCAACUAUUACUGAUGUCUACAAGUACAUUCUGCAAAAAGAAAAACUAUUCGAGUUUAUUAUUAUCAUCAUCAUCAUCAUCAUCAUCAUCAUCAUCAUCAUCAUAAUCAUCAAAAUUUCGUGAAAUCAUAAGUAAAAAUGCACGUUAACAUGUUGCACGUUAGUAUCAAUAAUGCCGUAACAUGUGAAUUUUCGACACUUCCAGCAUUUAUAGAGGUACGAAAAGUUGGACUUUUUAGCGUUUGAAAAUUAUACGAAAUCGAUGAAAGAUGACAGAUUCUUUCCCAUGUUGUUAGAUGCUUUGCAAGCAGUUGAGGAUUUGAGUACUGACUUGCACCAUCAGACAAUAAUCACUUAUUUUUAAACACAAACAUUGCAAGAAACAGCAUAACGUGUACUGAUUUUGUUAUUUGAUUUCCUUGUCAUGCAUUCGUGCUCGCAAAGUGUCGAUGGACCUUAUCUUUGUUCAUUCACGAGCAAUUUCAUCAAGCUAAAUCUGCCCGGUCCGAUGGUAUUACAAUAUUGUAGCAUGUUAUGUGUGUUGAAAUAAUUCUAAUGUGGACUUACCAUUUGAUUGUGAAUUUUUACGGGCUAGAUAUGUAACUCAUAAUGAUAUUUUUGAUUUGGUUAAAUAUAUUAAAUGAUCAAUUGACCAUUUUACGCAUUACGGAUUAUAUUUAGGCCCCGUUUGCUUCCCAUUCUUUAUCUCUAAAAACGAAAAAUAUGACUGUUAUAAAUUACAUUAAACUAUUAUUUUUGACUUUUUCUCAUAUUUUUCAUUUUCAUUCUUAUAAAAAUGAGAAUCAAACAGAAGCUAAUACGAUGUGAUAAUUUUAAGUAUGUGGGCUAAAAAUAUAUGUAAACCUUAAUUAGAGUUUAAGUCAUAAUGAAACGGGUUGGACGGCUUGAUAAUUUCCUAUAUAAAGGCUAUGUCACAUCUCCUCUCCAUAUUAUUUUUAUUGACUUUUCUCAUUGACGGCUAAUACUUUGUGAGGAGUGAGGAAGAAAAGAUCUAACUACUAUUAUUCAUAUCAAUGAUUUAUUCUGCGUGUAUGAAUUCGUUUAACCAAUUAUUAUUUUGUGAUUCUUGUUCUUAACAUGAUCCUCGUUAAAUUCAACAAUUGUUAUCAAAACCUACAUGCUAAGAUGAGAUUCAAUGAAAAAAUUAAAAUUUAAAAAAAAAUAAUAAUAAUAAAUUCACUAUUAAUUGUUGCUUUUUACUAGUAUUUGGAAAAUCUAAUGGUACUCAGGCUCCUAUUACGCCAAUCAAUCACGUUCUCUACCAUACCAGGUAGUUAUUUCACCUCGUUGGCGAGCCGUAUUCGUUCGACGUUAGACGAGUUGUAAUUAAUGGGAAUAAGCAAAUUUAAUCUUCAGUGAUUUGGAAGUUAACUGGCUUUCAUCCAAUUUUCUGAAGAUUUUGAUAUGCUAUUCGUUAACUAUCGAUAUUUGAAUAAUAAUUUCUGUUGAUCUCGGAAAUUGGUCCUUCCACGUGGCCAACUGAAAGCUACUCCACGUAUUCCUCCAUGUGCACAAUCAACAAAUAGUCAGGCACACACGGUCGGAACCAACGGUGGCGGUGGCGGCUGUAUACACUCCGACGGUCAAGUCAGGUUUGGGUGAUCGGAACAGUACCCGGGGGCUAUACAAAUCGAUCAAUAAAGGGGGAGGAAAAUAUAUAAACUUGUUAUGGAGUGCUGUAUAUUAAGAGUUUCAUUACCUCUGCUUCUUGCCAAACCUUGGGUAUUUAUAGGUGGUAUGAACCGUUAGAUGUGGAACGCGUGUAUACAUCUGACGAUAUGAAGAGUCUGCUCAUAGGCGUCAAUCAAUCGCGUUCGUAGAGUGGGCGGACAGUUUGUUUCCUCUGAGUUGAAUUGACGUAAAGUUGAUAAGUCACAUCAACUAGCAUCAUGGAAACGUUAAAUCAAUUUAAGCCUUAGGUGUAGAAUAAAUCUCAAAUUGACGGCGGAUCUUCUAACCGGGUUCCACUUGAUCUCGACCUCGGAGGUGAGAUGUUUCGACAGAUCAGUAGUAGGAAUCGCUAUAUCACUUCGGAGAAGCUUCGGAAGGGUCGUUUUCAGGUCGGAAUAAAUGGUGCUGCGGGGGGUCCACUUGGUCUCGACCUUGGAGGUGAGAUGACACUUCGGUAUCCGAGGCGUAUAUAAUCGGAGCGUAACAGUGGUCCCCCAAGUCCGAGGAUGAAUAUUUAUAUCAUGCGUGGACUUGCUUUCCUGACCGGACCGCAAGUCAUGGGAGUUUUGGGGGUUGAUCCGUCACAGCAAUUGAGGUUAUGAUAAUAUGCAGAUGUACCAAAGCUUCGUUAUUGUGCGUAACGCUCGAGGCGGUCAAGCAGCAUGGGACGUCGCGUAAGGUGCACCGAAGGUUCGCGAAUAUGGUGCGCUGACCCAAAAGGUCGACGCAUGGGGAGAUGGUUGAAACUUUGUAAAGCAUGGGAGGAAACGCAGCGUCCGAGGCGAUGACCCAAUAGGGCCUUCGCGUCAGGUGCGUCCAAGCUUUGUAAAAUUGGAGGAAGAGCUCAUCUGCCACCGGUGCGCUGACCCAAAAGGUCGACGCGUGGGGAGAUGGCUGAAACUUUGUAAAACAUGGGAGGAAACGCUGCGUCCGAGGGGAUGACCCAAUAGGGCCUUCGCGUCAGGUGCGUCCAAGUUUUGUAAAGUUGGAGGAGGAGCUAAUCUGCCACCGGUGCGCUGACCCAAAAGGUCGACGCGUGGGGAGAUGGCUGAAACUUUGUAAAAUAUGGGAGGAAACGCAGCGUCCGAGGCGAUGACCCAAUAGGGCCUUCGCGUCAGGUGCGUCCAAACUUUGCAAAGUUGGAGGAAGAGCUCAUCUGCCACCGGUGCGCUGACCCAAAAGGUCGACACGUGGAGAGAUGGCUGAAACUUUGUAAAGCAUGGGAGGAAACGCGGCGUCCGAGGCGAUGACCCAAUAGGGCCUUCGCGUCAGGUGCGUCCAAGCUUUGUAAAGUUGGAGGAGGAGCUCAUCUGCCAUCGGUGCGCUGACCCAAAAGGUCGACGCGUGGGGAGAUGGCUGAAACUUUGUAGAGCAUGGGAGAAAACGCAGCGUCCGAGGCGAUGACCCAAUAGGGCCUUCGCGUCAGGUGCGUCUAAGCUUUGUAAAGUUGGAGAAGGAGCUCAUCUGCCACCGGUGCGCUGACCCAAAAGGUCGACGCGUGGGGAGAUGGCUGAAACUUUGUAAAGCAUGGGAAGAAACGCAGCGUCCGAGGCGAUGACCCAAUAGGGCCUUCGCGUCAGGUGCGUCCAAACUUUGUAAAAUUGGAGGAGGAGUUCAAUCCGAGGCGACCCAAACGUCAAAUGAUUUGACAACUGUUGCGUGUUUUCAAGGUGACAGUUGGGUGCCAUGCCCAUUCUCCUAAAAGGCUGCUGCGGCUCUUACAACCAAAGCAUCGCAAUGGGGGUGGUGAACUCCAUCUGAGUCUUCUUGGGAGAAGGUGAUCGGGGCCAUCUUGUUUGCUGAUUUCGAUUCGUCAACAAUGUAAGUGAUCAUCGGGGGAUCCUUAGCUUCUCUUGUGUAAUUUCUCUGGGCAUUCCUAGUGUUGCCACCGACGUGGGGUCCCGCAAUGAUGGUAUGGAUUUUCCUGAUGACCUGGCCUCCCGAAAAUGGGGCUUGGUUCCCCUACCUGGAUUGGCCUCGGUUCCGCAAUUCUCUUCUACGAGGAGAUUGUUCCUGGUGACCUCUCCCUCCCCUCCUCGUGGAGGUGGAUCUGCGAGGGUGUUCGUUUCUGCUGGAAGUGUGAGGGUUGCUUCGAUCAGGGCGCCGAUUGGCAUCACGACACUCGCUGGUGUCAUGUCCGUAUAGUUGAUGGAAUGUACAAAACCUUGCUCCUGCCAAGGGUUUGUUUGGCCUCUUUUUCUUCUUCUUAUUGUUAUCAGUUCUUUCAGAUGGUCUCGCCUCAGCAGGGGCAUUAUCAUAUGCCAACACCGGCACUGCAUUCAAUGUGGCGGAAGCUAGGGCCUGUCCGGAUGUGGGAGCUAUGGUAUGCCCUGCUUGGGUCCAUUGCUGAGUGACAAGGUGUGCUGCGGGGCCUCGACCUACCUGCCUCUGAGGAGGAGGGAGUCCCUGCGCGGCACGAUUGCGAUGAUCAAUCAUUUCUUCACUAACAAUUUCCACUCUCAUCAUUUCCACCAGCUCGUCGUAUGUGGAGGGAUUCUUGCUACUCACGUCCCUCCAAAACAAAAUGUUCAUGUUGAGCCCACCUUUCACUGCUGAAAGGGAUUCCCUGUCAGUAACAUGUUCGCAGUAAGUAAUUUCGUCUGUAAACCUAGCGAGAUAGCUUUUUAGCGUCUCUCCAGGGGCCUGCCUCAUGUCUUGCAGGCGUUGAAUUGGCGCCUCUCCUUCCCUGCGUGAAAGGUACUGGUUCAAAAAUGCUUUCUUCAAGUCUGGCCAACUUCUGAUGCUUAGGGAAGAAGCCUGUUGUACCAUACCUCGGCAGCUCCGCCUAGUGUUAAUGGAAGGCUCUGCAUUUUAGAGCAGGCGAGGCUCCCCUAAAGCUCAUUUGUGUCAUAUACUUUGUGAGGUGCUUCUCCGGAUCCCCCUUUCCCUCAUACUUGGGGAUCUUAGGGGACAUGAAGUUAGCUGGCAUUGGGAAGCUUCGAAUCUCCCUUGAGAAAGGGAGGUUAUCGUCAUCGUCGUCAAUCUCAUAAGAUCGACAGGGCCCCUCUGACUCUUCAUCAUCUUGGAUGUCCUGGGGUGGUGGAGGUGCUUUUCCUCGACUCCCCCAAUCGACUAGGUUUCUCCUAUCCCUCCUAUUUUUAGGAGGAGGAGGGGGAACAUGCUCUUGUUCGCGAUCCGAACGAACUGUCCUCUUGCUGGGCGGACCCUAUUGUUAGGAUCCUCCCCUAUCCGGUCGAAGGCGCUUACCGACCUUUGGUCGUCGUGUUCUUAAGGAAAGUUGUCCCCCAAGGGUGGUUCUGAUGGAUGACUCCCUUGCACAUAAGAUGUUGCUUCGGCGUUCAUCUCUCUUUCGAGAAGGCAUUCUGUGUGCCGACUCAUGUAGCCCCGAGAGUGAGAUAAAGGGAUUUCCUGCACCGAAUAAGAUCCUUGGGGCCUUUGGUAGCUCUGGUGUCCCUGGGCUUGCAUGAGGAGUUCCUGCAUCGCCAUAUUCUGAGCUGCUAUGUCUCUCAUACCCGCAGCUAUCUGAGUCAUUCCUUCAGUGAGUAUGGCUAUUCUUCCGCCUCGGCGAUGCCGGUGAUGCGGUCUUUGAUGAGUAACAUUGUUAUGUAGUACCUCUUCUUCAGAUGCCUCUCUCAUGGGAUUGUCGUCUUCAUGGCUGUAGCUCAUACUACCUCUUUUUUUUCAAGGGUAGUAAGAACUUGAAUUGUAAUUCGAUUUUGUUCUUUUUCAAGAAUGCCCCCUUUUCAGGGGUAGUCGCCGAUUUUCCGGUAUCUUCUCUGAUGGAGAACGCAAAACUUCAAAUGGGGAGUGUUUCCCAUAGACGGCGCCAAUCUGUUGAUCUCGGAAUUGGUCCUUCCACAUGGCCAACUGAAAGCUACUCCACGUAUUCCUCCCUGUGUACAAUCAACAAAUAGUCAGGCGCACACGGUCGGAACCAACGGGGGUGGUGGCAGCCGUAUACACUCCGACGGUCAAGUCAGGUUUGGGUGAUCGGAACAGUACCCGGGGGCUAUACAAAUCGAUCAAUAAAGGGGGAGGAGAAUAUAUAAACUUGUUAUAGAGUGCUGUGUAUUAAGAGUUUCAUUACCUCUGCCUCUUGCCGAACCUUGGGUAUUUAUAGGUGGCAUGAACCGUUAGAUGUGGAAUGCGUGUAUACAUCUGACGGUAUGAAGAGUCUGCUCAUAGGCGUCAAUCAGCCACGUUCGUAGAGUGGGCGGACAGUUUGUUUCCUCUGAGUUGAAUUGACGUAAAGUUGGUAAGUCACAUCAACUAGCCUUAUGGAGACGUCAAAUCAGUUUAAGCCUUAGGUAUAGGACAAAUCUCAAAUUGGCGGCGGAUCUUCUAACCGGGGUCCACUUGAUCUCGACCUCGGAGGUGAGAUGCUUCGACAGAUCAGUAGUAAGAAUCGCUAUAUCACUUCGGAGAAGUUUCGGAAGGGUCGUUUUCAGGUCGGAAUAAAUGGUGCUGCAAGGGGUCCACUUGGUCUCGGCUUCGGAGGUGAAAUGACACUUCGGUAUUCGAGGCGUAUAUAAUCGGAGUGUAACAAUUUCCUUGUUCGUAAAAGGGAAACUCUUAUAUAGGGUUUGUGAAUUGUUUGGAGAUGGGGGCUUCCAAUGUAAAUAAUUAAGUUACAAGCCCCCGGUUUGAAUUAUCUUUCGAGGGUUAAAUUUACAUUUUUUAAAAGGAGGGCCUUCUAGAAAUUUGGAAAAUUUGGAGGUUCUGUUUGCAAUUUGAACCAAGGUCAUAUUGCAAAUUUCAAAAUGGUUUUUUAUUUAAAUAUGAAAAAGAGGUUUUAAAUUUGAUUUUUAAAAUAUUUGACCCAAAAGAUAUCAAUUUUGAUCAAUUUAAAAUUUUAUUUAAAGUUGACCCCUUUAAAAUUAUAUCAAAUUCAAAAUAAUAAUAAUAAUAAUAAUAAUAAUAAUAAUAAUAAUAAUAAUAAUAAUAAUAAUAAUAAAAAAUUUGAUUGACGACUUUCAUGUUUUCGUUAAAUGUUUAUCUAUUUAAGUGUCGCUAUUAUUUAUGCGCUUAAAUUUUAUUUUUUAUAUAUAUUGAAAUUUUGUUGUCAAUUUUGUAUCUCAAUCACAUGUGAAUUUUUUCCUUCAUUGAUUAAUGAUUAUAAUUGUUGCAUAACUAUUAUUUUGUGAUUGAAUUUUUAAUGGACUUUGAGACAAUCCUUAUUUUUCCCACUAAGGAAAAUAUUUAAAAUAAAAAUGGGUAGUAGCUGUCAAAGUGACACACUUAUUAUUAUUUAUUCCUUUUGUAUCUUGCCCAAAUAUGUUAUUAUAUGUGAUGCGUUGGAAAAUGGCAUAAGGCGGUUAAUGAGUUUACUUUAAUCUAUAAAUCUCCUUCUGUCAAAAAGUGUUAGUGAUUCGAAAAUUAAAGUAAUUUUGUUAACUAACUACAUGAUGUGUUUUAAGAGUACUUUAUAACAUGUUUUAUUGUCAGCCCAAGGGUGACUUUAUGAUGAUGUAUCUAGACUGUUACAGUAAUAAGAUUCAUAUGGUUUUAAUCUUAAUAACGGAUUAUCUAAUUAAUAGCUCAUGUUAAUUAGAUAGAUAUUUUAUUAUUCAUCGACUGCAUGUAUUAUAUUUGAAUGAUAUUAAAUAUGAUAUUUUAUAUUUUCACAGUUUAUAAUGCAUCAUCUCUUUCAAGUCAACAGUCUGCUAUUGAAACCUUGACUAAGAAUAAUUAUGUGAGAUGAAAAUGACGCGUAGAAAUAGUAUUUGGUUUUCUAGGCUUGAAUUUUGCAAUGGAGAAAAAGCUUUCGAAACCCACAUAUAAGAGUACUCUUGAAUAUGUUGCCGAGUAUGAAAAGUGGGAAAGGGCCAAAAAACUCUAUUUGAAAAUUAUUAAGCGCUCUAUAUCCGAUUUCAUUAUGGGUGUUAUCCUAAAUAAUAAAAAUGUCAAAGGUUUUAUGGAUGUCAUAUGAGAGAGUUAUUUAGUCUGAUAAAAUUGAAACUGGAGAUUUGAUGAAUAAAUUAAUGAAUAUGAGAUAUGAUGGUACAAUUGGUGUUUGGGAGCACGUCAUGAAGAUAAUAAAUAUAUCAUCUAAACUAAAAACUCUAGACAUUCCUAUUGCAGAACCUUUCUACUUUAUCAUGUUUUAAAUAUCCUUUCGAGCCAAUUAGAUCAACUUAAGGUCGCAUAAAAUGCUCAGCGGAACAAAUGGAAUUUAAAUAACCUUAUUACAGUAUGUACCCAAGAGGAGUAUAGGAUGCGGUAUGAGACUGUAAAAACUGUGCAAUUAGCUUUUCACCUGUCACAAAACAAAUGGUUUUCAUAUAACCAUAAGUCUAAGUUCCGUAAGAGUAAUAAGUUACAUCAAAAUCAGCAGAAUAAAAAAUUUUGUGGUCCCAAAAGAAUUAUAAAGAAAAAUGAUCAAUGCAAGUUUUGCAAAAAGAAAGGUCAUUGACAGAAAGACUAUUUUAAGUUUAAGACUUGAUUAGAAAAUAAGAAGAGUUCUGCAGGAAUUCACAAGCAAAUUGAGGUCAAGUGAGAAUGAAGUGAGCUUAUGUGCUGGAAAUAGAGUUCAAGUGAAGGUUGAAUUCACAGGAGCAGUGAAGUUGUCUUUAGAAUCUAAUUUUUCUCGCAAAUGAGAUGGAACUUAAUUCUAUAUCAAAACUUGAUGCUUGUGGUUUUUCUUUUUAAUUUUGGUGAUGGAAUGGUUGAGUCAUUUUAUGACUCUUGUUUGAUUGAGAAUGAACUUUUAUGUGAUGAUCUAUAUAAAUUGUCUUCGACUCCUUUUGGUGAACUACCUUUUGUUACCAAUGUAUCAAAGAAAAUGGCUCUAAUCCGUAAAUUGUCAUCUAUGUUGUGACAUAAACGAUUGGGUCACAUUUCAAGGGAUAGAAUGGAAAAAUUGGUAAAAGUUGAGAUACUUCCCUCUCUAGACUUCUCUGAUUUCGACACCUAUGUGGAUUGUAUAAGAAAAAAUCUAACUAAGUCUACAAGAAAAGGUUCCACUAAGAGCGAUAGUAUUUUGGACUUGAGACGUACUGAUAUCAGUGGACCUUGCCCUCCACCAUAUGUGGAAACAAAUAUUUUAUAACCUUUAUUGAUGAUUUCUUACGAUAUGAAUAUGUUUACUUGAUUAAUAACAAAUCACAACCGCUUGAAAAAUUCAAGAUUUUCAAAAUGGAAGUAGAGAAACAAUGUGUAAAAAGUAUAAAAAUUGUAAGAUCCGACCAUGGUGGUGAGUAUUAUGGGAAAUAUGACAAGAAUGGUCAAAACGUGGGUGAUUUUACAAAGUUUUACAAGAGUGUGGAAUAGUGCCUUAAUACACCAUGCUAAGGACACCUGACCAGAAUGAUAUUUCUAAAAGACGUAAUCGAAGUCUGAAAGAUAUGGUCAAGACCAUGAUGAGUAGAACAAAUUCGUCAGAGUAUCUAUGGGGUGAAGCUUUGAAAACUACUAUGUACAUCUUGAACAAAGUUCCUAGUAAAGUUUUUGCAAAGACACCUUUUGAAUUAUGGACAGAACAUAGACAAGUUUGGCCCAUUUUAAGAUUUUGGAGAUGUCCAGUUGAGGUUAGGAUUUAUAAUCCAUUUGAAAAUAAAUUAUAUCCAAAAUUUACUUCUGGUUACUUUAUUGGGUACCCAAAGAGAUCAAAAGGAUAUAAAUUCUACUGUCCAAAUCGUGGCACUAGAAUUGUUGAGUCUAUUACUACUAAAUUUCUGAAGAAUGAUCUUGGAGAUAGUAGGAGUUCUACAUUAGGAGAACUUUUUGUUGAACCAAACAAGUUGUUGUUCCAUUUCCUAUUAUACAUGAAAAAGUUGGUUCUUAGCUAGUUGAAGUUGUUAAUGAAGAAUUGAGGAACGAAGAUGAACUUUCAAUUCCUUCUCCAACAAUGAUAGAGUCAAUUUCUGAACCACAAGUCAGAAGAUUGCAUAGGAAAAUGAGAUUUACAUUGCCCAGUGAUUAUAUUACAUAUUUAUUGGAUAGUGAUUUUAAUAUUGGGCACGUUGUUAAUCAUGUAACUUAUAAUCAAACAUUGACAAAUCUUGAGGCAGAUAAAUGGAUAAAUGCCAUGGAAGAUGAAAUGAAUUUUAUGGCAUGCAAGGAAGUUCGGGAACUUGUUGAACUUCCGUCAGAUUCUAAAGCUAUAGAUAACAAGUAGAUUUUCAAAAGUGAGUUGAAUUUGAAAGGGAAUGUUGAACAAAAAAUAAAGGCAAGAUUAGUUGCAAAAGGUUUCACUCAGUGGGAGCGUAUUGAUUAUGUUGAAACCUCCUAACUUGUCUCGUUUAAAGAUUCUUUUCGAAUUAUCAUAGCUCUUGUGGCACACUAUAAUUUGAAACUUCAUCAUCUGUAUGUUAAGACAUCAUUUUUAAAUGAGGAUCUUCUGAAAAGGUUUACACGAGACAACCUGGAGGCUUUGUUCUUAAGGGAAAAGAAAGUUUCGUAUGCAAGUUAAACAAAUCAUUAUAUGGCCUCAAGCAAGCAUCUUAACAGUGGUAUUUAAAGUUUGAGGAGAUUGUAACUUCUCUUGGUUUUGUUGAAAAUGCAGUUGAUCAAUGUAUUUAUCUCAAAAUCAGUAGGAGAAAUAAUAUUUUUCUUGUCCUAUAUGUUGAUAACAUUUUGCUUGUUAGUAGUGACUUGAGAUUGCUUCAUGAGACAAAGAGAAUGUUGUCUACCAAUUUUAAGAUGAAAGAUCUAGGAGAAGCUUCUUAUGUGUUUGACAUUGAAAUACUCGUUUGACAUUGAAAUACUCGUAAUAGAAAUCGUGGCUUGAUAGGACUUUCUCAGAAAUCUUAUAUACGACGUAUUCUAGAAAGGUUCAAUAUGUAGAAUUUUGCACCUAGUGAUGUACCUAUUAUAAAAGGGGUAAAUUUAACAAAACUCAAUGUCCAAGAAAUGAGCUAGAAAUAGAAUCUAUGAAGAUGAUACCAUGUAUUUGUAUUGUGGGGAGCUUGACAUAUGCUCAAGUUUGCACUAGACCAGAUAUAACCUACGCAGUCAGUAUCCUUAGUAGGUUUCAAUCAAAUCCAGGACAAGAGUAUUGGAAAUCGGCUAAGAAAGUUAUGAGGUACUUGAAGAAAACUGGAGGUUAUAUGCUUUCUUUCCAGUAUUCACAUCAUCUUGAGGUGGUAGUCUAUUCAGAUUCUAAUUUUGUUGGAUUUCAAAAUGAUUUGAAAUCAACCUCAAGUUAUAUUUUCAUAUUAGUUGAUAGUGCAAACAGACUCUAGUGACAUCUUCUACUAUGCAAGCGAAUUUGUGGCAUGUUAUGGGGCUACAAUCCAAGUCGUUUGGUUAAGAAAUUUCAUUUCUAGAUUGAAAGUUGAUGAUUCCAUCUCAAAAUCAAUCACUAUUUAUUGUAAUAAUAGCACAACAAUGUUCUUUUCAAGGAAUAUUAAAGCUCUGGUUGGUCAAAAUAUAUUGAUAUCAAAUAUUUGGUAAUUAGAGAAAGAGUCAAGGAAGGGCAGACGAGUAUAGAAUAUAUUAAUAGAGUCGAUGAUUGCGGAUUGUUUGACCAAGAGACUCGCUCCAAAAGUCUUUAAAACAAAUGUUAUUAAUAUGGGUAUUUUGGAAACCUUUGAUGUUUUUGGUUAGUAGGAUUUAUAUAUGUAAAUUAACUUCAUCUUGGCUUGAUCCCUUCACGAGGUACGUAGGUGAUAAUUGUGUUUUCACACACUUAUUUAAUGUUUAAAUAUGUUUAUUAUUGAUGAAAUGAUUGAAAUUCUACUCACAAUUAUGUAACAUUUACUUUUGUAGGCCAAAAAUUGCCAAUGAAAUGAGAAUAAAGCAAAAUAAGGAGAAAAUGACUAAAAUUGUGCAAAAAGUGAAGUUGGGGGACAAAAAUAAACAACUUAAGAAAGUUUAAGGACAUUGGAUGCAAUUUAUGGAGGACAAAAUUGAAAUGAAAGUCAAAAUUUGAGGACCCAAUUAGAUGCAGCAGAAGUUGAAGGACCAAUCAUGCAAUUCUUUAGAGACCAAACUGAAAGGAAGAAAAAAAUGCUAAGAAGCACCUAAGCCCGCAGCUAAGGCGCACGCCUUAACCCUAAAUUUGGGUAACAAUUUUGAGUAACAGAGGAUAACCAAAGUGUUAAGGUGCGGAUCUCAUUUUGUACUAUGCGCGUGCCUUAGGUUGAAAUUUAGGACCUGUGCAUAACAUUUUAAUUUUUUCAAGGACUCUUCUUGAACUUUGGUUGGGACGGUUUUUAUCCUUUUUAAACACCAUUUUCUACUAUUCUUCCUCUUUUCUUCUUCAUUUUUCUUUUUCUUUCUUCUUUCUUUUUCUCUUUCAUUUUCUUAGAUUUUGGGGACAACCAAGAGCACAAGGAGAAUAUAUUUGAGAGAUAAAUGGUUGGAAAAAAUCAAGAUCAAGCCAUCAAGAAUUCAAAUCCAAAAGGUAAUUAUCUUCACUCUUGUAUUAUCUUCUUUAUUAUUGUUUUCUAUUUGCAAUGUAUUGUGUAAAAUAUUCUGAUUUCUACAUAACAUAGGCUAAUUUAUUGUGUUGGGAUUUAUAGUAUUAGUUUAAUCUAAUUUUUAAUUAAUUUUAAUAUUUGCUCUUUAAUAUUAAGUUAGUUGUUUCAAGUAUUUUUACUAUUGUUAUUAUUGCAUUUUCAUUUAUGUGGUCAAUGAAUAAUUAUGUUUAGUGACCCAUUAAGCUAUUUUCAAAAAUAUUUAUUGCAGUUAUUUAGUUUUAAUCGACAUAGAAAUAUAGUAGGUUAAACAAAUCAAGUAGAGUUAAUUUUGUUCGAAAGAGGUAAUUAACUAAAAUUGAAAAAUCGAGUCUAACAUCAUAAAUAAGUAGCUGGUUAAUAGGCUUGUGGAGAAAUUAAUUAGGCAAUGGUUAAGCGAAAUCAUAAAUACCAAUCACGUUUUCUUCCAAAAUUUUCAAGAUUUUUAUAUUUUCUUAUUUUGUAGAUUCAUAGUUAAUUUUUCUUAUAUUCCAAAAUGUAACUUUAUUGUGUGUUUGUUUUUAUUGUUAAAAUUAAAUUAAUUAAAGUUGUGUAAUUGAAAGUUAACAUUCCUCGAAAGGUCGACAAUCCGGACUCAAAAAGCAACCCAUAUGUUUUUUUUCGGGUAUAGCUUCUUCCAAUAAUAAAAUAUAUUUUUCCCUAUCCAUGAAUUAUUUUGAGUAUGCAUUUGACCUAUAUCUUUUAUUAAGAUAUUAUUGUAAUAUCGAGGUGUGACAAAUAAAGAUAUAAGAUGAGUCUUUCUUAGGGAUAUGUGGUUUUAUUUUGAUUUGAAGCAUUAUGAGAACCGAUACGAAGUAGCACCGUUUUUUAUCACAUCUAGUGCUAAGUUCAUACUACAUUGGUUGGAGGAUAGGAAUCCAUGUCAAUAAGGAUGUUGGCAUUUGUAGCUGUGGAAUGGUCUUACAUCAUUUAAUUGGUCUAAUGACUUUCAUGUUCAAUGUUGACAUUCUUGUUGGAUCGGAUCAUGUUACGUAAAGUAUCAUCGUUGGAGCUAUACGUGUAUGGCUACCUAUGUAGUCUAACCUGAGUGUUAAAAGUUUUGUUAUAACAAUAAAAUGUUUGUCCAAGUGGGAAAAUGUUGGAAUAAUUCUAAUGUGAGCUUCCCAUUUGAUUGUGAUUUUUAUGAACUAGAUGUAUGAUUCAUAAUGAUUUUUUGAUAGGACCAAAUAUAUUAAGUGAUCAAUUGUGCCUUUUACACCUUAUGGGCUAUAUUUAAUAUGAUGUUGUAAUUUUAAGUAGGUGGGCAGGAAAUAUAUGUAAAACUUAAUUAGAGUUUUAUGUCGUAAUGGACGGAUUGAUAAUUUUUUAUAUAAAGGUUAGGUCACAUCUCCUCUCCAUAUUGUUUUUAUUAGCUUGCUCCAUUGAUGAUUGAUAUUUUGUGAGGAGUAAGGAGGGGAAGAUCUAGCUUUUAUUAUUCAUAUCAUCAAUAUCUUCCGCAGGUAUGAAUUCGAUUAAUCAAUCAUCAUGUUGUGAUUUUUGUUCUUAGCAUGAUCAUCAUUAAAUUCAACAACGUGUUGAUGAAUGUGAUUUCAAGAGAGUGAAAAUGGAGAUAAAAUGUUUUUCAAACUCAAAAUCCAAUGGUCUAAACUUGUACAUGGUCUAAUGUUAACACACUUGUUUCUUGAAUGACUUAAGAAGAUUUAUGGCGCUUCGUAUUAGAUUGGAUAAGAAUUAAAAUAAUUCUAUCUAAUUCUUAUUGAGUGUUUAGGGCAAUUAAUUAAUUAAUCUAAGGUGCUUGUCCUCCCUUAUUCUGUUAUUCGAAUAUAUGAAAUUAAUACGUUAUAUAAUGGUGGAUUAGGGCCGUAUUAUUUGUUCUCUCAUUUAUUAUUAAGAAAAUAUUUGUUAAAUUGAACUACAUAAAUUUACUUACAAAUAAAUAAGAGUCAAGAAUUUCAUUUAUAAGUUAAAAAAAUAACUUAUAAGGAAAAUAAUCAUUUUUAAUGAAAAAUUUAUGAUGAGUAAAAAAAAUUAAUUACAAACAAAAGAAUUUAUAUAAAUGAUUAUUUCUCUUAUAACUUUUGUGUAAGUUAAAAAAAGUUAUCCUAUGAGUAAAAAUAACUUAUAAGUUAUGAAAAGCUUAUGUAAUUAGAAAACAACUUAUAAGUUCAAAAAUUAUUUUAUAACUAAAAUAUUUACUCAUCUGUCAAAAAACGCUUGUACGUAAAACUGCAUAAAAAUACUUAGAAGUGAAAUAUUUCAAAGCCCUCAGCAUUGCUCCUAUGGCUUCCACAACCCAUUUACCUUCUCUCCCCUUCUUUCUACCUCUAAAAAUCCAAUAAAAAAAAAAUCCCAAAUUGUUGUAUCUUUUACCAAACCUCAAAUUCAAGCGAAAACUCGCGCAACAAGCACGGAUUUGGUUGGUGAUUUUGGAUCCAGGGAGCAGAGAUAGAAAGCAAUGUUGGCGAGAAAAUGCUGGGAAAUGUAUGCAAUGAGCAUAAGAUUUUGAUUCCAACUGCUGACCUUUUGUCUCUCUCACAACAACAGUGUACUCUCGCUUCUCAUCUUCAGCAACCUAUACCUGAGGAUGAAGCUAAUAAGAUGAUGUUCAAUUCUUGGUGAUAGGUCUCAAUUCUCCCUUCCGGUUCCCCACUCUAUCGGUUAAGAGUCAUCUUCCACUGAUGCCAAUUUGAUAAACUCUUGUAUCAAUGUCUAUUUUCCAACAAAAACAAGAGCAAAUAUGAAGGUAGAAACCAGAAACAAGAGGAUUUGGAUGAGAACAUCAAUUGUAUUUUUGUAAAUUGCAUUGACGAUGUUGAAUGAUAGAUGAUUUAUAUAGGAUUACCAAGCUUUGAUGAAGAGUGAUGGUGUUUAUACAUUUUUUUAAUUUAAAUUUUGUGACACCUUCAUAAAAAGCGACAGAGCAUGUUGUGACAUUUUUUUAAUUAAAAUGUCAUACACAAUCAAAUUCUAAUUAAACAAUACAUCUUCAAUUAAGCUUUUAAUUUGUUUAUAAGAAUUUGUUUUAAACGUUAAUUUCUAUCAUUUUUGAGUGACAAAUAUCAAUUUUUAAAUAAAAAAGUGGCAUUGAGUGUUUGUCACUUUUUUUUUAUUUUCUAUCACUUUUUUGAAUUUAUGUUUUUUUUUAAUUCGUCACUUUUUUAGUAUUUGUCAUUUAAAAAAAAAUAGUCACUAUUUUUUUUAGUAUUUGUCACUUUUUUCAAGUUAUCUUCUUGAUUUCUAUCAUUUUUUUAGUAACAAACAUCAAUUUUUAAGAAAAGUGACAUUGUAUCACACUUAACUUUUAAAAGUGACAUUGUAGCACACAAUAUUUUUUUAUUUUCAAAAAACUUUUCACAUGAUUUUUCAAAAGACAUCCAAUUUUAAAGGUAUUUUUUUAAGUUGCCCAUUCAUUUAUAAGACAAUAAUUAUUACAUAAGUAUAAAAAGCCAAUUAUACAAAACCUUCACUUAUAAGUAAAAAUACUUAGAAGUUAAAAGUUUAUUUACAAGCAAAAAAAAAUUAAUUGUAAGCAAAAAAUUCAUUUUUAAGUUAAAAAAGUUCACUUAUAGGUACAGUUAAACCUCGAUAAAGUAAUACUCUCGAGACCGGAAAAAAUAUUCAUUUAGCGAGGUUAUUUAUUUAUCAAUAAAUGAAUAAAUUAUUCAUUUAUUGAUAAAUAAAUAUUUAUUAUUUUAGAGAGAGCUUUUCAAUUAAAAUAUGUACAUUGUAUGUGGUAAGAAAAAUCAAAAGACACUAAUCAAAGUAUUAUUUGAAUCUAGGAAAGCUCAAUAGUUUUAAUGAAAUUUAAUGUCUCUAAAAACUAAGUUUACGUACAUAGCAAAUGAAAGGUUUAGUCUUUACCUAUAAAAGCUAGAUGUUUGGAAAAUAUAUUCCAAGCACAUACAAUAUUUUGUUUCCCCUCCAAUAUCUUCUCAUCAUUUGAAAGGAGUAAAAAAAUCAACUUUAACCGAUAAAAUGAGAAGUGCAAUAUGUGAACAUAAGAAAGAGAAUCCAACUAUUAGCCAAAAAGAUAUGCAAGCAUGGGUGCAACAAAAGUUUGAUUUGACAAUUAAUCAAUCAACAAUAUCGAACACUCUCAAAAGGGCGUCGGAAUAUUUGUCAAAUAAGAUGAAAAAUAGCGAUGUUAAAAGGCACAAAUCGGUAAAAUACCCUGAUUUAGAGAAAGUUUUGUAUGAGUGGUUUCUUCAAAGGCAAGAUAAAGUGAACAUGUCUGGAGAAAUUAUCCAAGAAAAAGCAAAAUAGCUUUUGCAAAAAAUGUAUGGUGAAAUUAAUCCAAAAUUCAGCUUUUCUAGUGGAUGGUUAGAACGUUUCAAGGUAAGAUAUGGAAUCAAAUCUUACCGACGUUUUGGUGAAAGUGGUUCAGUUAUCUUGGAGAACAUUGAAAAUGCUUUACCUGGAAUACGAUCAAAACUAGACCAGUUUCAGUUGAAAGUUAUUUACAAUAUGGAUGAAACUGGAUUAUUUUACCGAUUGGAAGCUGAUCAUUCACUUGCUACCAAACAGCUCGAAGGACGCAAAAAAAAUAAGGAGAGAAUUACUGUUGUUGUUUGUUGCAAUGGUGAUGGAUCUGACAAAAUACCACUUUGGGUUAUUGGUAAGUAUGUAAAUCCUAGAUGCUUUAAAAAUGUGAACAUGAACAAUCUUAAUUGCAAGUAUCGAUCCAACAAGAAAACUUAGAUGACUGGCUUGCUUUUUCAAGAUUUUGUUGGUUGGUUUGAUAAGAGAAUGAAUGACAAGAAGGUUCUCUUAAUAGUAGACAAUUGCCCAACUCAUCCAAAGGUAGUUGAAAGUUUGAGAAAUGUAGAGUUAUUUUUCUUACCUCCUAACACAACGUCUAAGAUUCAACCAUGUGAUGCUGGGAUUAUUCGAGCAUUCAAAACUCAUUAUCGUCAUCGUUUUUAUUCUAGCAUCUUACAAGGCCUUGAGGUUGAAGCACCAAAUCCUGAAAAAUUAAUAUUUUGAAUGCUAUUAAUUUUGCUAACAUGGUUUGGAAUUUUGAUGUGAAGACAACAACAAUUGCAAAUUGUUUUCGACAUUGCAAGAUUCGGUCAGAAGAAAACAAUUUUCCCGAACCAGAAGUUGGUGAAUUAGAUGAAGGUAUCCAAGGAUUAAAUGAUGUCAUCUCUAAUUUAUACUCUAAAAAUGUGAUGGAUGUUGAACAUCUUUUGAACUAUCCUAGCGAGAAUGAUGCAGUUAUGAAAUCACCUACAGACGAAAAAAUUAUUCAAUCGGUAAUGAACAGUAAUGAUGAUAAGAAUGAUCAUAAACCAGAUGAUAGUAGCGUUGUCCCAAAUGUGUCGUCAAAAGAGGCAUUUCAAGCAAUAGUCACUUUAAGCAACUACUUACUACAAUACGAGUAAAAUAUUCUGGAAGUUGUGUAUGCUCUAUAAAAAGUUAAGGAUGGGGUUCAUUUUGGUUUAGGUGGGAAGAAAAAACAAUCAACUAUAGAUGCAUAAUUUCAAAAGGAAUGAUUAUUGUACGAGUAUUAUUGAUUGAUUGAAAGAUUUUGGUCUAUAUAUAUAUAUAUAUAUAUUCUCAAUAAAAUCCAAUAAAUAUUACUUUAUAUUUUUAUUGGACCCUUAAGGAUUCAAUUUUUUUUAUUACUUAAUGCAUUUAGCGAGGUUAUUACUUUAAUCCAUUGGCUCAAGUCGGGAUCAAAAGAAAUUAUUAUAUAAUCGAGAUUAUUAUUUUAUCGAAUAUUACUUUAUCGAGGUUUAACUGUACUUGUAAGUUAAAAAUUGGGAAAAUUUCAUAAGUAAGAGAUGAAGUAUGUCAUAUUUCAAAAUUAAGAAAACAAGUUUUAAAUUUCAAAAAUCAGAUUUUUAUUAAAAUUUAUUUAUGAUUUAAGUAAUUAAUUAAUUAUUUUAUUAAUUAAAUAAAUUUAGGUUACAUAUCUAUACAAUUUGGUCACAAAUUAACAAUUUAAUUGUCACUUAUAAUUUUUUGGUCACAAAUAAGAAAAUUUACAUGGCAAAUUAUUUUACGAUCACAAAUCAAAAAUUUUGUAGAUCACAGUUCGUUUAUCGAUCACAAAUCAAAAAAUUAAUUAGUCACGAUUAAUUUUUAGUCACAACUUAUCAAAUUAUUGGUUACAACUUAUUGCUCGGUUACAAAUCAAAAAUUUUAUAAGUCACAUAAUAUUUUUCCGUUACGAAUCAAAAAUUUUAUAGGUCACAGAUCACAACUCAUUAUACAGUUACAAAUUAUUAAUUUUUUAGGACACACAGUAUUUCUUGGUCACAAUUGAUCUUUUUCAUUAGUCACAUAUUGUUUAUUGAUCAAAGAUUAACCAAUUCACUGGUCACAAUCAACCAAAUAAUCUAUUAUCACCACCAACACUUACGAUCACCACUUCAACGUUGCCUCCAAUAGUACCAUCACCACCGUCAACGCCAAAACCACCACCACCAUAUUGAUCACAAAUUAAUCAAUUUAUUGGCCACAACUUUCAAUCAACCAAUAGAAUCGUCACAAACACCUACACCCCAUCCCACCACUCUAAAGCACCGAACAAUCACCAACCACCAUUUCAGCCACCAGCGACAUGGCCCACUACCAACACUGUGGACAUCACCACCACCACCACCACUUUCCGAUAGUUCAAAUAGUUGGUUACAAACACUUUCGUACCACACCGCCAGCCACUAUCACCACACCACUGCCACCGGAGUGCCGCCAACACUACCAACCACCGCUGCCAUCCCAAACACUUGCACCACCACCAGCGACGCUGCCUACUGCCAACACCAUCAACAUCACCAUCACUACAACACCGACAUCACCCACACCCCAUCCCACCACUUCAAAGCAUCGCACCACAGCCAACCACCGUAAACACCAUAUCGCAUCACCAGUACCAUUUCCAUGCAUAAACCACCACCCACAAGAACCACCACCGCCAACCACCACUAAGUAAAUCGAACAAAAAAAAUUACAGAUUCGAGCAUAUCGACGUUGCAGAUUUCGGCAAAAUCGGCGUUGCAGAUUCGACACCGCAAGAUCUAUCAGCAAAUCAGAUUCGCAUCGCAGCACUCUAGAUUCACAUCCAACCUCGUGGUGGAUUGGGUCAUAAUGGCAAUAGCGCUCUUUCCCUUCGUCUCUCUUCUCGUCUCCCUCUCUUCCAUUGCCAUCACUACAGCGAUGUGAAUCUGCAACACCGAUGUGAAUCUCCAACCCAUCGCCACGCGGCUACCCACCCCAAUCACCAAAUCAACCACCACAAAAUUGCCACCACACAAUCACCACCACCACCCCCAAAACUGCUACCAUACACACACAUAGCAAUGCUGUGGAGAGAAGGUGUGAGGCGUUGGGUUGGAGAAAUAUAGAUACAGGGGAUUAAUUAGGGCUGUGAUGUGGGUAUUGAAGUAUAUAUAAUUAUUUUAUAAAAAUUUUAAUUAAAAUAAAAUAUUUGGUUUUUGAAAGAUAAAACUAUCCCCCUGAUUUUAGUAUACAAGAUUUUAAUUUUAGGGUUUUGGGUAAUUUCCUCUUAAAAAUUUCACUUAUGAGGAAAAAAGUCAUACAAAAGAUCAUAUAAAAAUUUUCACUUAACAAGUUAAAAAAUUCUUAUGAAAAAUAAUGUCAUAAAUGUUUUCUUUUCUCAUUACUACUAUAGUCUUCUAAUACAGUGUGACAUCAAACACUAUAUUUGGACAACCCCCAGUAAUCCACCUCAACACACUCCCCUAAUCAAUCAAAUCUUCCAUGGUGAUCGUUGCCAAGUAUUUAGUGCCAUGUUUUGUUACUUCACUAUUAUGAUUUUCCUCUUAUUAUGUGCCCCUAAUUUAAUAUGGUGUACCGAAUAUGAUUUAAACAAUGUAUAAAUUUGAACUGGAGAGAAAUAGGAAAAUGAUGUUUUCCAGUAAAUAUGUUUAUCUUUCAAGAAGUUCAAAUUCUUUGAUCGAAAGGGCAUCUUUGAUUUUAUACAAUUAAAAAGGAAUUGCUUAGUUUCAAGAUUCUACAAGUAGGAUUCUUCCUAUUACUUUAAAACCAAGGACACCCCAUAUGUCUACUUGAGCGUCCAAAUAGCCUGGCUCGCCGUCAGUGAGACCUAGCUUGCCGGCUCAAGGAAUUGAAUCGGCCCAAAAAAUAAAAAUAAAAAUAAAAAUUGUGAGGUCCAAACUCAACAACAUAUAUAUCACUACUAUCUUAAAAAGAGCGAAUCAGGCGGUUAUUGUUCAUUUAGGACGUAUUUAGGUGUUUUUCAGGGCGUAUUUAGGUGUUUUUCAUUUUACUCUCAACUCUCUCGCACAGUAACUCUCACACUAUGGGUCUAAUUGCCUUUUUAUAUGUAGACAAAAUAACAAAAAGUUAAAAAUAGUGUGCUACCUAAAGGGUUUGAUUCCCUGUUUUGCCUGAUUUGAAUUUUUACGUCCAAAAAAAAAAAAAUAGUUGACAUCAUACACAUAAAUUUUUUUUUUUAAAGAAAAUGAUGUAAAUUAUAUUGAGAAAAUUGUUGCGAGAAAAUAAUAAACAAUAAUAAAAUUAUUGAUUUUUUUUAAAGAAAUAAGGACGAGUUAUACGCUUUUUUUAGCACACAAACGAUGUACAUUUAACUAUUUUCGAUAUUCACUUAAAUUAUUCGAUGCCUCUAUGAUAAGUUCUUGAAAUGAAUUUCAAGAGAAUAUAGAAGAUUUAUGGUAGAUUUUUAUAUAAAAAAAUUAAAUAAAUCGCCCAGUGAAAAAAAAGGGAAAAAAUUGACACAAAAAAAAUCAAUCACCCAAUGAAAAAAAAUUGAUACUGAGCAUUAUAAUAAUAAUAAUAAUAAUAAUAAUAAUGAUAAUAAUAAUAAUAAUAAUAAUAAUAACAACAUGCAUUACGGAGCAACUCCCUACAUCACGGAGCAUUUGCUCCGUGAUGCACGAAGUAUUGUCGUAAUAAUUUUUUCCCUCUUUUUUUUUUGGUGAUUGAUAUAUUUUUUUUUAUACAAAUCUAUUUUAUCCUUAUAAUGUGACACAAAGUAUGUUGAAUCAUGUAUAUUUUUUAUUUCUUAAAAGCAACUGCGAUAAAUCAAAGUAAAACUUAACACAAUGUUGAAAAAAUUUAAUACUCAGUUGAAAAGAUGUCGAUUAAUUUAUUUGACGAUAUUGAAUAUUUUAGAUGUAUAUAAAUUUUGGAGGAUUAAAUUCAAAUAUAUCAAAAUUGGGUGAUUAAAUAAAAAUCUCAACCCCAUUUAAGUGACAAAAUAUUAUAAUGUGGCUCAGCUUGUGUUUGACUCCAUUAAAUCUUUUUUUCUCUCUUUUAUUUUCAAUCGCAGAAUCUUCCAUAGAAUAAUAUUACACGUAAAUAAAAAACUUUUCAUUAAAUCGAUUGGAUAUUAAAUAAUAAAAAAAAAGAUUCGAUUAAUUACAUGAUUUAAUUAUAUUGAAUAUAGUUAUUAUCAAAUAUGUCAUUUAUAUGUAAAAUAACCACUCAAACUAAAAUAAUGUUUGAUAUAUAAAUUAUGAGCUCCAAUAAUUUGAAUUUUUAAUCCAUGCAUCAAGAGAGCAUUUAUCGUAUCUCCAGAAAAUACAUUUCAAUUAUAGUAAUACAAAAUUGAGACCAACUAAUUUUUCAUCUUGAUUAUUUUAACAUCUGAAAAAAAAUUAUAUAUAAAAGAAAUUCGAUCAUUUUUAAGAAUUUUUUUCUUAUUGUUACUUUUUCGUCUCGAUCAAUUAAUUUUUAAAAUAAUCUAAUGAAAUUUUUGACGCCAUUUAGAAAAAAUUUCUAUUAAACUUUAAAUUUUUGGUUAAUGUUAAAAGAGACAUUAUUUAAAAAAUUAAGAAUUUCGAUAACAAGCUAACUUUAAAAAUUCAUCGAUGAUUGUACAUUAGUCGAAUACAUAAAUCUUCUAUAUUAUCUCGAAACUCAUUUCGAGAACUAUAUUAUAGAUAUAUCGAAUAAUUUAAAUGAAUAUCAAAAUUAGUUAAACGUAUAUCAAACAUGUGUGUUCAAAAGAUAUUAUAUAUAUGUUUCGGUAGUUCUUUUUUUGUUUAUCUUAUGUGUAUCGAUUAUUUUGGACAAAUAUGAACUUUUUUGUCUUCAACUUAAACUCUCAAGUACACUCAUGUAUAUUAUCGAUUAAUAAUAAUAUAUGAUGAUGCAAAGUGUGUGUCAUAUAUGAAGAUUGCAUUUUCAUUUAUCAUUUUAAACAAUUAAUUAAAUUUGUAGAUUUAUUGAGAGAAAUGAAUAGAUAUUUUUACGCGUUAAUAUUAACUAAAAAUGACAUAAUUCGUGCAUUGCACGGUGGAAAACUAGUAUAUAUAUAUAUAAAGUUAGAAAAAAAGGCAUAUAUGGGUGAGAUUGAGCAGGCUCAUAGUCUAGACAUUUCACGAGCUAACUUGGAUUGGUCUGCCUAUUUUGACACUAUUAUGAAGAUGUAGCUUUCUGACCCCAAACCAUAUGUAUAAUUCAUAAUUUUUUCAUCAUUUAAAAUAUAUGAUACAAUAUGAUGGUACAUAAAUCACCUAUAUCCGACCUCGACCUAUUGUCCCGACCUUGCCUUUCUCCGUUUCCCCUAAUAGUGAUGUCGGGUCUACAUUGAGGGCAGGCCAUAAGUCCUUUAAUGUCAUUCCUCCCCUACGUUUUAGAAGACGUUAAUCCUACUUCGAUUAUAAUUCCCCCUUAGCCUCAUUAUUAACUUAUCACAAUCCAAUUCAAACUCAAACAGGGCACUUUGAAUAUAACACAAACACCUUGCAUGAUAUGGAUAAGAAUUACAAGAGGUUGAAUCUUCCUAUAACCCUACCACCAACGUCUAUAAAUACAUUAUCAAAGCUUAUUAUUGAAGUACAUUUUUCAUUAUUUCCAAUUCAUGGCCUCACACUUAAAUUCUCUCUCGGACUUAAGCAUUGGAGAGAAGAUGAUAACACACCUCAAAGCCUUUGUUUCAGGUAUUGGAAGAACUCACUCAAGGUCACUCUUAGCCAUCAACCUCGGGAAACAAUAGAUGCAAUUUUUGAUAGCAUCACAAUACAAUUUGAGCAAUGUUACAUGUACAGAGGAAAUGCACAGAUUGAUAUAUAGAAUGCCACAUGGCAAUAUUUUAUUAGAUGUUGGAUAAAAAAUAUAGUUAAAACAAUCAAUCAAGUUCUGUGAACUCGACACCUGUAAAAUUGUCUGUACAUUCGCUUUUACAAGUAUCAUUUCUCAUACAAUUUAUGUAAUAAAAGUUGAAUAUAGAUGAUCAAUAAAUCAAAUGAAUAUUAUGGCUUCGUUUGGUACCAAUUUUUUUUUAAAUGCAUUCUUUUUUCUUUCAACCACACAUUUUUCAUCAAUUUACUAUUAUAGAAUACAUUUUUAUAUAAAAAUGACUCUCAAACAGCCACUAUAUCAUAAAUAUAUAAUACAGUACAAAUUAGUCUUAGAGAUCUUCAAAUAGAGAAGUGGUUACAAACAUAGCUAAAGUCUUAAGGGACUCAGAAAUAGUCCGAAAAAUUAAUUUUUUUCCCGAAAAAUUAAUUUUUUUUACUGUUAUUUCACAAUUUUAUCGUCAUUUUUUACUUUUUCACUCACGGACAAAACCAACCUUUUACUUUAACGGUAAAAAAAAAAUCAAUUUUCGUACAUGUCCUAAGUUAUCUUAUUGAGAAAAUAAAAAAUUUCGAAUAAAUUCUAGGGAAACAUGCUUCACUUGGGACGAAACACAAAACGCUUUGCGCCUGUUCCCAGGGUUAUGCUCUCACUCGACCUCACCCCUAUGCAUAUUAUAAUUUCUUGAUUCCCAUAUGGCAUGGAGGCAAAUUCUAUUCUUCAACAAAAGAUUACUGUCAACCCCUUCUAUUUCUGUUACUGGGUUGGCAAGCUUUUCAUCGAAAUCCAAUCCUUACGUAGGUAAUUCGUUUGUUUCACAAAUUGUGUUUGUAUGUAUGUGAAUGCAUAUUUAGGGCGAUACCUUUUAGGGUGGUAAAUGGUGAUUAUGGGUUUUCGAAAAUUCCUUGUUUGUUGGUGGUGCAGUGAAGGUUGGGAUACCGGAGUGUUUGAGUGGAGUGGAGAAAGGAUUGGAGCAGCAUGUGGAAAAGCUGGAGUCUGAAUUUGGCGACUUGCAGAAGCUUCUUGUGGCCCGCACCAUUAAGCUCAAGAGAAUCGGCCUUAAAUGCCAAGAGGUAAGAAUAGUUUAGGAAUCCCCCCCCCCCCCCCCCCCCCACACACACACACACACACAAAAAAAAAGGAAGAAGAAAUUUACUGACUAUUUGUCUUAUAUAAUUUUUGGAUAUGACUUCUAAUUUUUAUGUUGUUCCGGGGGAUAAUAAUUUGUGCUGUUCCUCGAAAACUUGGCAUUGGGGUUGAUUUAUUUUAUUGAUUGUGCUAUAUUUAAGAUAUGGUUGUACGUAAUCAGAGCUCUUAAGUACCUGUGCUUAGCUUAUGUUAAGCACCGGUGUGCCAUGUCACACUGUUGACCAAUUAAUUGAUGUGAUAUAUCACCCGUUCUCAACAUAAGCUACGGACCGGUGCUUUAGGAAAUCAUUAGUGUGUAAUUAAUAUUGGUCUUAGUUAUGGAAUAGUUUUAAGCAGUAGUCUUGAGCUGUGAUGCACGGACUCUCGAUUCUAGACGAAACACCUGUCUCGACCCGACACGACACAAGUACGUGUAAGGAAUAUGAGGCGGAUAUGGCAAAAAUCAGCCGGACACAACAACCUUGAAGGCUGACCAUGACGGGGCCGCUGGAAAAAAAAUGAGUCAUGUGCUUGCCUAUGUCAGAGAACGGAAUUGGGAAGGAUCCUUGUGAUGAUGGGUGUGGGACUUGAAUACAAUCCUGCUUCCCUACACUAUGCUGAAAUUAUACGACCCAUUUCGGCUUCUCUGUGUUGGAUGGGAAGAAGACGGCUUAGAAGUCAUGAAAUGAGAUGAGGGAAGAGAGAAAUAGGGUUUUUAAUACAGGAAUUGGGUUGGGUUAAUGAAAUGCUCUCAAGAUGUGGAGGUCCAAUAAGAGAGAAUAGCUUUUCAUAGAAGAUUAGAGUCAAGUUGCCCUGGGUACUGUUUGGGCUCAGGAUAGGAGGCCUAUUAUUAUAAAAAGAAGCCCCAAAUCUUGGCUACUAUUCAAAAAAUAAUUAAUCUUAAAAAAAUUAAAAGUAUCUUUCAUGGUAUCUAUGAAUAAAAAAAAUUAAAUAAAAUUUGAAAUUUGAAAAAUGUACCCACGUACCGAUGUCUGAAAUUUACACUCUUUUUAGCUAUGUCCCCAUAUCCUAAAUUUUAAAAAAUAAAAGGUCCAAUACUUAAACCCGUACCCGUACCCGUACCCGAGUUCGAGCAUCACAAGUCUUGUGCUAGUCUGUGGUUAAUUGUCUAGACAUGUGCAAUACAUGGUGCGGGUAAAAAGAAAAAGGGAAUUAGAACUAAAAAGCUCUUUAUUCUUGGUUUACUAUUUACAUUGCAUGGUGAAAACUUAUGCGGUCAAAUUCCAGUUAAUGGAUAUGAUCUCAACUCAGCUGGAAUCUGCAAAUCAAUAAAUGUCAGAUCUUGGCAACAAUAAAUGGGUGGUGGUGGCCUAUUUCACCCUAGUGUUAACUUAGUUUCUAAUUUCGAGCGAAUAAUUGAAAGAGUUUUCAUAAGAAAUAUAAUUUUUCUUCCUAUUUCGGAGGCAUGUCCCUUGAGUUGUCGGUGCUAAAAAAAAAAAAAAAAAAAAAAAAAAAAAAAAAAAAAAAAAAAAAAAAAAAAAAAAAAAAAAAAAAUAACUGAAGUGUAGAUAGAAGAUUUCUAUGCCCCAUACCAAUGUGAAGUCAUCAUUCUGGUUUGUUUCACAUGCCGAUAAUGUGUCAGCACCCCACCGUGGGUCAGUUAUGUGGCACAUCAGGAUGAUGAUCACAUUAGUCUAGGAGUACAAUUACUAUUUUGUUUCAAUUGUAUAACUUCUGUAAAUUAUUAGAUAUGCUAAUAUUCAUAAUUUGAUUUAUAUUUACUUUAUGGGAAUGAACAAAUAAUGUGGGUGGUUCUCAUUACUGUGAAAAUUGCAUUCGUGCAUUGUACCAUCACUUAGAUGCUGAGAGUUGUUAACUCACCGCAGCAUUUGCAUUAUCAAUUUAGGUUAGAAGAAAGUAUUGUCAUAUGAAAAGUGAAGUAUUAUUGAUUUGGCACGUGAAAAGUGAAGCAACGUACUAAUUGUGUGGCACUUAGAUGUGUGAGAUACUCACCAUACCAUUUUCUUUUUUAAUUAGGUUAGAGAAAAGGUAUUGUGCCAUGUGACAAUUGAAGCCUUAAUGAUUUUUUACUUCAGAUGGGAAAAUGUUUUGGAAAUUCGGUAUUGCAAUUAUUGUUUAGCUUAGUGCACAUUAAGUUCUGUGCUUACAGAGUUGAUCAGGAAGAGAUAUAAAGUUACAAUGUUAUAUAUUGGUUAUUAUCCUUUUGUGUGAUUAGAGUAGUUGUUCCGAGCAUUUCAAGCUCCCAUCUGAUGUACUUCUAAUUUCGGUAUCUGAGUUGGUGCUUAGUGGAACACCUUAUUGUUUACAAUUUGGUUACCAAGUGCUAGUUUACUCACUCAACUUUUGAUAGUCAUGUCAUAAUCAUAAGUAACCUUCCAUAUACUUCAAGUCAAGGUAUUUCGUUAACUUGGUAAAUCUAGAUUGUAUUGAAUUAUUAACUCAAAUGAGAGAAGAUUUUUGAAUUUCAUGUUCAUAUACUUGUUAACUUGAGAAAGUUCUGUUGUAAAUGGCAUUAUUGUUUACUUUACAAGGUUGAAUAAAGAGGCUUGAGCUUGUUGGGUUAGUGUCAGUUAUGUCCUCAUUAAUGUGUCAUCUUUAUCAAAGUUUCCAUAAUAUGCUAGUGUGUGGUACUCCCUUUCCCUUCUUCCCUCCUGUUUGCGUGCACGUGUUAGUUCCUUUUUUGCUUUUUGUUAAAAAUGUGCCAUUUAACCUUGUACCCUACUGCUGUUUCUCAGUAUCCACUCCUUUUUAGCCGUGAAAGACCAGCCUGUAAACUUUUGUGGCGAACGUCAGGUUAUUUGUCACAAUUUAAAGAAUCAAUUUUAAAUGACUAUACCACGUAAAUUUUAGUACUAUAAAUUGUCUUGAACAGUUUUUCUUCUGGAAAAUCAUAACCAAAUUGGCAUUAGUAGAUUUUGUAAAUGAACAAGUAAAUUCUAAACCUUCACUAGAAGAUACAGGGAAAGAACAGACAACUGGUUUUUGAAAUAUAUAUGGAGUUAACCGACUAUUUUGACAGAUUUGCUUAGGCAAGCUUUCAAGAAAGAUGUUGACUGGCAUAUUCUUCUUUUAUGAAUAUGCAGGGAAUAUUGAGAACGUAAAAUUUUCUUCAUAGGGCUAUGGGUUGAUUACCUCUUUUGUUCAUAGUAUCUCCCAUUCAUGAUUGUCUUGCUGGGCCUCUUCUAUCAAUUUUUGGCUUUAUGUAAAUAAGCUUUCAGUUAUGUCAGUUUGUUAAAUGGGUUAGACAUGGGGGUUGCACUAAAACUCGUAACGUUCUGAAUUCAUAAAUCUACCAUUUUAGUAUUCAAACAAGGUCAAUGCGAUAUGCUCUCAUCUUGGUACUCAAGUAAUAGAGGAAUCCUGCACAAGUUAUGUCAUGAUUGUUUUCUGCUUCAUCCCUGUCAACAAUGCUAUGGGGUUUUUGGAAACAAGAAACGUGGACGUCUUUUCUCAAAAUUUAUGGUCCUAUAACCUUUGUUCAGCCUGCAGCAUGUCUUGCACGUAGUUUACUGUUUACCCCUGGAGAGGUUGAGUAGCUUUAAUACGUCUUGGCUAUGGAGAAUUGGAGCAAUGCGUCCCUGUGUUUCUGUUCUGGCAUAAUAUAGUGAUUAGAGGUUUUAACUUCUAUUCCAGUACCGAGUUUACCUAUUUUUAGUUCCAUAUGAAUUAGGUUAUAUUCAUGUUUUGAAGAACCUACAAAUAACUAUGUGCUCCACAAUUCAUAGAAGCCAAUAAAAGAAGUCACUGACCAAACUCAAGGCAUCAAUUAUUCUCUUCAUAUCCAAUGUUCACCUAUAAUGGUAUCAAAUGCGUUCUUUUAAGUUUCUAUUUUUAGGAAGUCACUAGCUCUGGCAUAUGAAGCCACCUUAGAAGAGGAGAAAUUUGUUGAAGGUGUGGUGGAGGAAGGUCAAGUUCGAGUUGAAGAGUGAGUGAUGUAUAUGAAGUAACACUAAAUAAAGAAGUUGUGCUAUAAGUUAGUGAUAUCUAUUUUCGUAAUUCGCAAGGCAUGCAUGGCUCUUUGGUCCAUUAAGUUGUUUGAUGGUAAUAAUAAUACUUGUUCUCUCUUUAGUGAUAAAUUUAAUUUGACUUUAUUAAUAUAUGUUGAACUAUUUUAUUUAAAAUAUAGUAUUUUUAUAGGACUUAAAAAGAUCUAAAAAUAACUAGCAAUGCACGUUUACUGCAAUUAGUUCAGAUAAAUAUCCUUUCAGCUCCCGUUUGGCCCCCAUUAAUUUUCAUUACAUUACAUGUCAUUUUUCUCUCUCUUAUUUUCAACCACACAAUAUUCCAUAAAAUAAUAUUAAAAGUAAACCGAAAAUUUUUCUUUUUUUUUCAACCACUUAUUUAAAAAAAAAAAAAAAAAAAAAAAAAAAAAAAAAAAAAUUUUUUUUUUUUUUUAGACCCCUUUUUUUUUUUUAAACAAACCCCUUUUUUUUUUUUAAACAAACCCCUUUUUUUUUUUUAAACAAACCCCUUUUUUUUUUUUAAACAAACCCCUUUUUUUUUUUUAAACAAACCCCUUUUUUUUUUUUAAACAAACCCCUUUUUUUUUUUUAAACAAACCCCUUUUUUUUUUUUAAACAAACCCCUUUUUUUUUUUUAAACAAACCCCUUUUUUUUUUUUAAACAAACCCCUUUUUUUUUUUUAAACAAACCCCUUUUUUUUUUUUAAACAAACCCCUUUUUUUUUUUUAAACAAACCCCUUUUUUUUUUUUAAACAAACCCCUUUUUUUUUUUUAAACAAACCCCUUUUUUUUUUUUAAACAAACCCCUUUUUUUUUUUUAAACAAACCCCUUUUUUUUUUUUAAACAAACCCCUUUUUUUUUUUUAAACAAACCCCUUUUUUUUUUUUAAACAAACCCCUUUUUUUUUUUUAAACAAACCCCUUUUUUUUUUUUAAACAAACCCCUUUUUUUUUUUUAAACAAACCCCUUUUUUUUUUUUAAACAAACCCCUUUUUUUUUUUUAAACAAACCCCUUUUUUUUUUUUAAACAAACCCCUUUUUUUUUUUUAAAAAAGGGGUGAAAAAAAAAAAAAAAAAAAAAAAAAAAAAAAAAAACCAUUAUUUCACCUAUUAAUUUUUCGUCAAAUUGGGGGCCAAACGGGGGCUCCAUUUGCUGAUCACUCGUUUCCCUACCGAAAUGAGCAAAUUGCUGAUAUGGUCCUCAAAUUUAGUACAUUCAUUCUUUUGCCUUAAUCUAAAUGGUCGCUUAUUAACUAUUCUAGACAUAUACACUUGAAUGAUUUACUUUCUUUUCUUUAGAGGGUGGGAUUGGUUUGGUUGGGUUAUGGGGGAUGCCAUGUAACUGGAGUUUCAAUAAAAUAUAGACAGCAUAACACGAGGUAGAAUGUAUUAUCUGUUACUUCCUAAAGCUACUCGGAUAAAGAUUAAAUUGAGUAGUCGUUUAUGAAACGAAUGCAAUCGUUUGGCAUUACAUUAUUGUGUGAUUUUAAGUUUUAUUAACCAAUCCAUGCAGUGAAACCUCUAAAAUUGAUUAAUUUUAUUUUUGCAGAGGAAGUUGAUAUUGAAGUAUGCCCACAAGUAUAGGCUUGGACUCUGGAGGCCAAGGGCCGAGCCGGUGAAAUCUUAACGACUCUUUGCUUGGGCAGUAUGAUAGAGUUAACUGUUGUGCUGGUUGGUAGUCGGUGUCUACAAGACUUCAUAAUCACAGGUUCUAAAUGUGCUUCGAGCCUCUCUCUUUUCUGCCUCCCUAUGGACAUUCAUUUGGUGAUUGCUAGUUGUUUACUAGGCAGAAAACAUGCACAUUUCUUAAGGUUGAAGAGCAAGGUACAAUUCGAGCCAAAGGUUUAUAUAUAUAUGUCUUUUUUUUUUGAGAAUUUGAAAGAAAGAUUCACCUUUAUUAUCUCCGUAGUUGUUUUUUUCCUUUCCCCCUUUUUUUUCAGUAGAAUAAGAUAGUUUUAUCGUCCAAUUGAUGUUAAAAUGUUGUGCCUAACAUUACAAAGUAGAAGUAGAGGGAACACAUUUAUAUUAACAGGCUAAGUUAUUACAGAGUAAAUAAUGUAUUUGUUUGUAAUUCAUCUUUAAGAUACUCCUAUGUUGACAGUCAAGUUCAUUUUUCUUCAAAUGUUUGAAAAAUGGAAUUUUCAUAACUAGAUAGAGACAAGAUUUUGGGGUAAUUAGCACAAAAGGUCCAUUCCUUUCAUUUUUUAGCAUUUUCGCCAUUAUUUCAACGUUUCAUUGCAGAAAACGUCAUUUUCACCAUUUUCUAAUGUAAAAUGAUCAAAAUAUCAUCCCAUUUAAAUAAAACAAAAAAAAAUUAAGAAUAAAUUACAAUCUUACUUCUAAAUGUUUUAAAAGUGCAAGUGAGUUCAAAUAAUUAUUAAAAGACUUGGUAGUACAGAACAUCCUUACUUUUGGCCUAUAGUGUGCAGAAGGUCCAUACGUUUCAAAUUCAUAAAAAUGACGUUUUUCACAAUGAAAUGUGAAAAUAGGGGUGAAAACGCAAAAAAAUUGAAACGUAUGGACGUUUUUCAUAAGAAGUGUCAAAUAUAGGAAAUUUUUUUUGUUAUUGAGCCUUAAAAAAAUAAAAAUCUCUCUCUCUCUCUCUCUCUACCUUCUCUUCUUCUCCAAAUGAGUUAACUAUCUUAGAAGUCAAAAAAUUCCAGCAAACCCCCACCCAAAAUGCUAGACCACCAUACCAUCGAAAAGCUUUCACUUCCCUCUUCAUACCACAUAACAUCCAACUUUAAAAUCUUCAUGCCAAUAGAUUUGUUUGAAAUUGCAAGUCAAAAUACACAACUCGCUAAUGCAAAUAUUAGCGACAUCGUCUAUUUCGGAGAGACUCAUGUCAUUUCUAACAUAUCAAUCGACUAUACUAACAAUGGUGCCUCUCUUCAUGGUUUUGAAAUAUUAACAGAUGAUUCAGCGGUAUGGAGGUUCGACGGUGGUUGGUCGGAGUUUCUUCACCUCUAACGUGGCAGUCCCAUUUGGAGAAGAAAAGAAGAGAGAGUUUUUUUUUGUUAUUUUUAAUAAUUUUACAUUUGACACUUCUUAUGGAUAACGUUCCUACGUUUCAAUUGUUUUUGCAUUUUUAUUCAUAUUUUCACGUUUUAUUGCGGAAAACGUUAUUUUCACCAAUUUUGAAAUGCAUGGACGUUUUGUACACUAUAGGCCAAACGUAUCGACCUUUUGUACUAUUAAGCCUUUUAAUAAUUAUUUGGAUUUACUUACACUUUUUAAAACAUUUAGGAGUAAGAUUGUAGUUUAUUCUUUAUUUUUAUUUUAUUUUAUUUUAUUUAAAUGGGAGGGUAUUUUGGUCAUUUUAUAUAAAAAAUGUGAAAAUGACAUUUUCUGCAAUGAAACGUUAAAAUAAGGGCGAACAUGUCAAAAAAUGAAAUGUAUGGACGUUUUACACAAUAACAUUGAAAGAUAUGAACAUUUUGUACUAAUUACCCCGAUAUUUUGAAUACAUUUUUGCUUGUUCUCAUGUCAUACCUAAGUGUCUAAUCAUCCAAAGUGAUAAAUACAUUUAUUAUUUUUUUUUAAAAGAAUAAUUAUGUUUCAUUUACGACAAACUAGGUGCUUCUUAUACACACACAAAAAAUAUCGGAGGACUGUUUGAGCCCCAUUCUUCAAGAAAAAUACAUUAUUCUACAGUGUUUUGACAUAAUUUUAACCACACAUUUUUCAAUAAAAUAAUAUUACACGUAAAUCUAUAACUUUUCUUUAUUUUUUAACCAUACAUUUUUCAUCAAUACACUAUUCAAAAAUAUAUUUUUCUCUACAAAAUGGGGCUCAAACAAAGGAACUAUAAUGAAUAAAAUUAAAUUUAUUUUAUUUUUUAUCCUUUAUAAUAUAGUUAGUACUCUUCAAUCAUUUGUACCAAAACAUGUCACGAGUGUUCUUGAGCGUCGGUUGUUAAUAAGUUCAUCUAUUCGAUUUUUUAUUUUUUAUUUUUUAUUUUUUUUCCUGAGUUGAUGCUGAUUGCUGACCAUUAUGAUAGUAGUGGACACUGAGUUCCAUGACUUUAGUCAUAAUAGUUACAUGAAUGCGUAUGGGCUUAUACAUAAAAGCUAUAGACAUGCCAAAAUAAACAAACGAAGUGCGCACGUUAUAACUUGUGUUGGUCCAACAAAGCCUACACAAUGUAACAUUAUAUGUGGUCCUUCAUAAUCAACCCCAUCGUAAACUUCUUUAGCUCCAAAUAAACCCAAGUGGGUUGGGGGUUUCGUUUUGGUAGUUUUUCAUUUCCCUUCUGUAUCAAUGGUGGAAUCGAAGGUAAGAUAUUCUACGAUAAAGGACUGAUUAACCUUGAUCGUAUGUGAAGUAUGUGAAAUAAGUUAUUUCUAUCGUACACGUCGAGCGUUUUGGAUAGGAUGGCAUCUUUGUUUUGGAUCAUCGACUAAUUUUACGAGAACAGAAUAAAUAAAUGAUUUAAUGAUGCAAGAAUUAUUCUCAACCAUGAAAGUAUAUUCAUGGAAAAAAGCUAAACCAUAAGUGGGUGGGGCUGCCUGAAAAUGUAGCACAUGACGGGCGGCUUCUUGGCUAUUAGGUGGCUGUGUUUGGCAGAUUUUGCCAACUUCCAAAGUUGUGGGGCUACCCUUAUUCCUCACCAUUUUCCUCCUAAUUUGUAUAUAAAAAAUACAAAUCGUAUAUGUUUGAUGUUUUAUACUCGACAAUUCGACAUAAUUAUAAGAAAAUUUUUUCAUGAUAGCAUCAAAUCUUCAUAGCUUACAGAAUUUAAGAUUUAAAUAAGUUUAUUAAACUUGUAAAUAUAAAGAUUCGAAGUUGUGAAUUUAAGUUAUGUUGUCAUCAUUUUAUAAAAAAUUUACAUAUUUAUUUGAUUAUGUUUAUUUAUUUAAAUUUUAUCUUCAACACAAAUGUUCGAACAGAUCCCUUGAAGCUCGGGAUUUAAGAUAUGAGGAUAUUGACACCACAAAAAGAAUCUUUCUCCAUACAAUCUGUAACAAUGACAGAUGAAUCGUGUACACGACUGAUAAUAAACAAGCGGGCCACUUCAUUGAAUGUGAUAAUUCAGGCACGAUAGCUAGCUACAAUGUCCAAAUCCAAGUUGCACGGUACGAAAUUUACUAAAGAAAUAAUGCAAUCAGAUAUUCAGACUGCAGUUAGUUGUCCCAAUAAUUGUUAAACUUAGAUUAACGUUUUUUUAUUGCUCACUGCACUUUAAGGUGUCGAAUUUUGUUCUUUAAAUUUCUCAAAGUAUUUGACGUUGCUAACUGGAAUAACUUUCGUUUUGCUUUUCUAACGUAACUAACCUGACAAACGGAUUUCACAAUUGGCAUCCCAUCACCGUUAGAUGUCGAAUCAUGGGAGAGGGACCAUCCACAUGAGUAAGGUAUAUUUGAUUGUUUACUAUACUUUGACAGGUAAUUUUGAUUGCACACUACACUUUAAACCAGCUGAAUUUUGGUUAUUAAACUUUUUAAAGUGACGCCGAGAUGAUGAACAUGUGUUUUGUUUAUCUUCUGUCGAAGUAUCGUUAGCAAUCACCUUGUUUAUGUGAAAUAUCUCUUUUUCGUGAUUGGACUUCUAACAGUGAUGGGACUCUAAUUGUAAAAUCCAUUUGUCAGAACAACUUUCUGUUAGAAACACAAAAAGGAAGUGAUUCCAAUAAGUAAUGUAUGAUACUUUGAAAAGUGUAAUGAUCAAAACUCAACAUAUUAAAGAAGAUUGAACAAUCAAUUAUGCGUGAACGAUCAAUUAUGCCAAUUUAAGUUUUGUGAUUAUCAUGACAAUUAACUCUUCAGUGUAUUUCAUGAGGUUUUUUUUUUAAUACAACCCGUCACAUUUAUAUAGACUAAAUUUCUUUAUUUUCUUAUCCCCAAUAAUGUGUUGUUUCGUUUGUUUACUAAUAUACUCUUAUUUAAUUUAUCUAGUUAUAAUCAAUUUUUUUUACUUAAUUUUGAAAUUGAACUAGUUAUAUAAGGGUAGCAAGUAGACUAAGAAAAUUUUUGGAAAAAAUUAGUUUUUCAAUAACAACAAAUAAGAUUUAUUAAUCUCUGUAAAAAAAUAAAACAAAUAUAUAUAAAUAGGGCGGAGAUAGUAUAAAUUUUGUAAAAAUUAAUUUUUUUUUUCAGGAAUGUGUGAUGAACAAAUAGAAAAAAAAAUUAUGAAUUCACAUACAAAGUUAUUUUAUUGAAAUAAUAUGUGACUUUAUAUAUAUAUAUAUAUAUUUUUUUUUUUUUUUUUUAAAUGAAUUUUUAAAAUGUCUAUAUCCCAACAAGUGCUUAAAAUAGAUGAAAAAUAUUAAGUUCAUGUUUGAGCCACAUUCUAGUAAAAAAAAUGCAUUAUUCAUAUCAAAUUAAUAAAAAAUGUGUAGUUAAAAAAUAAGAAAAAGUUUUAAAUUUGCAUGCAUUAUUAUUUUAUUGAAAAAUAUAUGAUUAAAAUAAUGUCAAAUCAUUGUUAAAAAAUAUAUAUAUUUUUUUAAAAUAAUUUGGCUCAAACAAGCCAUAAAUUGUAAAACUCUUAUAUAGGGCGACAUGAACACAUUUUACUAAUUUAGGCAAAAUAUAAUUACUUCCCAGUUAUUAACACAGCUACACAGGCUUUUAAAAAAUUGAUUCAUAAAUAUUCAAAAUAAAAAAUAAAAUAAAAAUUUCCCAAUAUAAGUAAUUCCCUACUGAUCAGAGCCGAGGCGAUCAGAAGAAGCGGUCAAUGAGCCGCCGCUUGUAAGGAGGCCAGUGAGGAAAGUCAUCGCGUUGACUUGCAUUUGCAGAGCCGCAAUGUAAUCAGUCGUUUCUUCUAGAAGGUUAGGCAAUGCAAGGUUCUGGCAACCGGGAACUAAUCUUCCCAAAACCCGCACUUUACUCUGCACAGGCGGCCGUUUUUUCUUCACAGCUCGUUUCUUCGACCUGGAACCACCAGUAGUCGGCUUUGAUGCUUUCUUGUGUUUCUUAUUGAUCUGAGCAAGUCGGAGACUAAGUUGACCCGUAAGGAUCGCCCGGCUCCAGCGAGUCCUUCGCUUGGCUGAAACGGCGAGGACUCUGUUGGCAACCUCACGCAACGCGCGACCAGAGGCGGAGGGAGACGAGGAGCCUGAACGGCGGAGAUGGCGGAGAGCGCGGACGAGCUUCGACGAGUAGAUUUGUUGCUCUGUCUCGGUUUUCCAUGUAGAACGACCCGUCGUCUCUAUUGUAUUCAUUUGGGACUGGGUUUCCGUCCCCAUUUUCCUUCGCUUUUUGCGCAAUGGGUUCGAUUUCACAUCGGGAAUUGCGGUGAAUGAAGAAGCCAUCACAAUCAAAAUCAGAAGAGUUUCAGAGUUUUUCAACUAGUUUCUCCGAAUUUAUAUUCCUUCCAUAGAUUUCAAAAUGGGGACCAGACCCACCUCCACCUUACCUCACAGACUCCAAAUACAAAGACAAAUAGAGAAUGGAGAAGAAGAAUGAGAGAGAGGGGGAUUUAUGGGUGGAAUGGUAAUGGACGGUAGUGGGUGUCGUAAUUGAAAUGUGAGAAGAGAAGAAAUGACUAAUCACUCACGCGGCCCGCCUUUAUUAAACCAUUUAUUGCUCCUCUUCUCGAAAUACUCCUGUAGAUGUCGUUUAUGGACAUGUUUGGUACAGCUUAAAAUUUAAUUAAAAUCAAUUUUUUUUAUCGUUAUUUCACUAUUUCAAUCGUUAUUUUUAAAUUCUUUUUUUAUAGAUAAGAUCCACUUUAUCUCUAACAGUUAAAAAAUCAAUUAACAAAAUCCCUAUUGAACAAACACUAUAUUUAUUCAUUUAUUUUUCACAAUAAUCAAUAUAUGCGAUUGUUAUUCUAAUAUUAAAGUUUUUCAUGCACUUCAACAACAAUGUUGUUAUUUAAUUAUUUUAUUUUAUUUUAUUUUCUUUGAGAAAUAUAUAUUGGUUUCUCCUCUCUUAUUAUUUAAUUCUUGUAUAUGUAUUUGACCAAUUAAUUCAAAUGUUAUUUGAAUAAUUUCAAUUGUAAAGUAUUAAAAUUUGUAGCUUAUUAAAUGCAGUAACUGUAAAUUGAGAAUAUAAAGUGAUUCUGACUCUCUAAAUUUGGAAAGUCAAUUCCACUAUUUAAUUUUAAACUAAAAAUAAAGUCUAUUGGAGUUUGUUUUUAAAAAUAAUGCUGUUUAACAUGAGUAUAGAUAUCUACACUUUAUAUGUUCAUUUAAAUGAAUAAUGUGAUUUUACAUUUUAAUGAACCUGUCAUUUAUCCUUAUGUAAUUGUUACUUAGACUAGUACUUAAAAUCAGUGAUGAUGAAUAGCAUAGCUCUAUUUUUUAUCAUUGAAUAUCUAAAAUAAAGAAUAUUUUGUGUUUUACAAAGUUUUCUGGAGAUUAUCUAGCCCCUAUUUGACAUCCAUUUUAUUGAAGUUUUUAAGAAAACGAGUUUUAGAUUAAUGAUUUAUUUAUUUAUUUUGGAGGAAUAUAUGGUUAACAACUAACAAGUAGGAAAAAGUGUAGAGUUUAACUGGAAAACAUUUUAUUUGUGUGAAUAUAUAGUUGAAAAUGAGUUCGAGACAAAAAGAAUUUUUUUAAUUAUUUACUUUUUUAGGAGAAUGUGUAGUUAAAGAAUAAAAAAAUAUAGUAUACGUGUACAAUAUUUUAUUGUAUGAAUAUAUAGUUGAAAAUUAUCCUAUAAUGAAUCAUAAAAUAAAUUAAAGAAUGUCAAACAUAUACUAUCUUAUUAUGCAAUGGGUUUUGGACUUUAAAAAUGUUUUAAAUUUCUAUUUACAGUUCAAGAGAAGUAAUGGAAUUCAAAAGCCUUUUCCCUUUUAAAUUCUCUCUUUUAGUCUUUACCAGUUCAUGGUUUUAAUUGUAUACAUGAAACAAAGUAUAUAAUCUUCUCAUUAAAAAUACAAUAUCAAAUCUCUGUCAACUAAUAACUUUUCAAAUUUAGCAAUAUAAUAAGGAUAGAUUAGACAAAAAAAAAAAAAAAAAAGGUGUCUUUAAACGAAGAGAUAAGUAAAUAAAAAACAUGAAUUUUUAAAAUAAAUUUUAAUAUAAAUAAUUUAAUAUUUAUCUAUGCAUGAAAUCAAACAAUUUAUAAAGUUCAAUUGUUUUAAUAAAUAAAAUUUCAAAAUAUAGUUAAUUUUUUUCAAGUUUGAAAGGUUUAUAAUCCAAUCUACUACAAUUCAAUAUUCAAUUUUCAAUUUCAAUUACGUGUAAGGAAAAACUUUAAAAAUUAGUCAUAUGAAAAAUCUUAACAAAAGUAAACAUUAUUAGGCAGGUUAGCUGAAAGAGGAACACCAAAAAAAUUUGCCAACCUAAUUGAAUUAUUCUAUUUGUACAAUACCGUGCCUGGCUUUCAGGAGGGGCCGCCACUUGACCACCUUGUCAACCUUUUUUUUUUUAAGGUAUUGUACUUCUAGCAUAUUUGAUUACCUAAACAUUUACCUGGUUUUAUUUUGAUUAAGGGGCUUUCGAUUAACUAUCAUAAUUAAAAUGUCGAUAAUUUUUAUUUUACUAAGUCAAAAUUCAUCUAUCUAUGAAAAGCUUUGACAUGUUGUAAUAUCAAAAUUGACCGAUAGUGGAACUUGAACUCGAGAUAAUAUUGUGUACUCUAAUAAUUAUAUCGAAUCAUGUUGUAAUAUCAAAAUUGACCGAUAGUGGAACUUGAACUCGAGAUAAUAUUUUGUACUCUGAUAAUUAUAUCAAAUCAUCAAGUUUAAAAAUUUAAAUGGCUAAAUGUAAAAAAUCAUUUAUAUAUUUUCAAUCGGUAUAAUGUCCAAAUCGUACAACCGACCAAUUGACAAAAUAAAUUUUGACAUUAUUGCUUACAAUGUACUUACCUUGUUUCAUUUUGUCAUUUCUAACAACACAAUUUGGUUUAGAACGUGCCAUGAAAAAGAAAGAAAUGACCAUUUCUACCGUGCUUUUUACCAGCAUGCAAUGUAAGACUAGCAUUUUCAAUGAUGCAUGUGAACAAGUUUCAAUUUGUAAGUACUGAUUUGAAUUUUUCAAUUCACAUUCACACCUUUUGAAAAGAACUGAUAAUCAAGGUAACACGACAUAAUUAGGUUAAUUUCGAUUUUUUUUUUUUUUUUUGCAUACGUUAUGUCAUUUUUUAGUUGUCUUUAUAGAUGGAUUAACGAUUUUGAGUUUUAGAAGAGAGAAGUAGGCGAUCUUGAUCGAGUUCUUAAUACCAACUAAAGACUCAAAAUUUGAUUCAGUUUCAAUAUUCUUUUUAUUAACAUAUAAAUUAGAUUAUAUUAUAUGAAAGAGCAUGAACUAAUAUAAAUUACCUCUGCUAAUCAACAAAUUUUGCCACCUAAAACAAAUAGAAAGCAUGAAAGUGAAACUAGGUUACAUAAUUGUUUACAGAAUUACAGUUUUCUCUUGAAGCAUGAAUGUAAAGGAUUGUGCCUGAUGUACAUAAUUUGGGUACAUAGGACUGUUCACACCCCUCACAUGCGUGUAGUAAUUAGAGUGGGGCGGCAGCUUGCCCAAUUUGCCACCCCGUUUAUUUUAUUAUUAUUUCUCUUAAGGGACAGGCUGGGAAUUUUUGCAUCCCUACUUGUGCGAAGGUGGGCCCUACCCCAUGUGAGGGGUGUAACACCCCAAUAUACAUAAUUUAUGUAUACCAAGACUUAUCCUAAAGAUAAUUGGACUGUGCUGAAAUAUAAUUAGCCGAUUUUGUAACGUUUGAUUUUAUCACUAACAUGAUGCUAGUAUUUUGUAACAAAUUAAAAACAAAACUUCAACAAAAAGUGAAAAACCAAAAUUUUUCAUCCUAAGGUCCAGAAGUUGUACCAAAAGGCCUGCCCACCACGUUCAAGAUCUACAGAAUUGUGGUUAACACUCUAAAUCCACUAGCGCAAUCAAAAAGAGUACAAGACAAUGCUCAAAGUAUCAACUAGAAAAGUCCUUAGAAAUAUAGUUUCUCUCUUGAUCUCUCCUGUCAUAAUUACAUCAUGUAACCAAAUAUUACUGCUUACCAAGAACAGAAAUGAACCCUCAUAAUACUCUAUUUUACAAUCUCACCAAGAAAUCAUCAGAAGCAAAGAUUACCGAUGAAAGAAGAUGAAUAAAUUACAGAGGGAAAGAAAAAUGGCAUCACUCAAAAAAACCCUAGAAUAAUCUUGCAAAAAGAGAGACAAACGGGGUAUUUUUAAAUGAAAUAAGCCAAUAACUCUUCCAUCAACGGCUACCAGUCAACCACGUGGCAUCAUUUCAGCUUUUAGAAUCAAUUAACCAAAGUCAACCGAGUCAAACUUCCAAUUUAUAUUCAAUAAUUGGGCCUAAGAUUGAGCCCAAGCGCGGAGGCCCAUAAGCGUUACGCAAGUCAACUCGACACCUGAAGUUAAUUUCAUUAAGAGUACGUUUGAUUGCGAUUACGAAAUUUGCAUGUAAAGAUAACUUAUUAAUUAAACAUGUUUGAUUAAUUUAAUUUUCAACUUAAAAAAUAUUAUACUUAUCCAUUUUUUAUUAAUGGAUAGAUGAGAGAGAAGAGAUAGACGAGAGAGAAAGAAAUAGUGGAUUUCCUGAAAAAUAAAAUCGUACUCCCCUAUAAAAAAUAUUUUUCUUGAAUUUAAAAAAAUAUGGUCAAGUAAUCAAAAGUAAGAAAACGUUUUCCAUGAAAAAAAUGUCAAAUUAUACAGCAAAAAAGUAAAAAUUCGAAUAAAAAAUAUUGAUAAUUAAACGCACCCUAAUAUUUUAUUUAGUCCGGGUCUCAUCAAACUUAGACCUCGUGCUAACUAUUGAGUGAUCCCAUAAUCGUAUUCCAAUUUACCAAAAUUAAAUUUCAACAUCACAAGAAUAUUUGAUUUAUUCAAACUCUCAACAAGACUUGAAUUAUAUCAUUAUGCUGGAUUGUAUUGUAUAUUUUAAAGUAAAAUUAUAAAUAAAAUUUAAAAGCCUCCACUUUAGAAAAUUGAUGUGACAAUACAUUAUUGGAUAACAAAAUACUGCCGGCUUCCAUUAUUGGAAUUUGUUUUAUACGAAAGGAUAAAUAAACAAAUAGAAAAAGGAAAGCAGCAUGCGGUUGGGUGGUUUCAGUGGCACACUUUCUAUCUCUUUCGGCCUUUUGCUUUUUGGGCUGACAUUGCCAUAUCUUAUAAUAUGGGCUUUGUUUGGGAGUUUUAGUCAUUUCUCGUCACCCUUUUAUCAAUUCCUAAGGGCUUGUUUGGGAGUUCUGGAUAAUUCUUUAAAAAAAAAUAAAAUGAAAUCAUAUCUCUCUCAGUAAAAUUCUUAAUCUAUGCUUUCUUGUAAGAAUUUUUUUUCUCAUGAUUUUUUACAUAUAAAGUUAAAUUUUAACUUAAAAAUGAAAUAUUACUUAUCAUUAAAUUUAAAAUAAAUAAGUAGUUUUUUACUUAAAUGUAAAAUUUACAAUUAUAAGCUAAUUUUGUAUUUUUAAAAAUAUUAUGUACACAUAAGUGAUUUUUUACUUAUAAGUAAAUUUUUAUAUUUUAUAAUUGAAUUUUGUUUUAUUAGUAUUUUUUUUAACUUUAUGAGCAAUUUUUUUUACACAAUAAAUUUUUAUCUUAUAAGUAAUUUUUUGCUGAUAAGUAAAUUUUUUGAUAUUAUAAUUUUAUAAACAAGUUAAUUUUGAACAAAAAUGUGUGAGUUGAAAAUAGAUUUUUUAUAGAGACUAAAAUUGAAGAACCACCAAAACCACCAAUUUGAGAACUAAGAAAUAUGUCCCUAAUUACACAACAUUGAUUUUGGAUGAUAAAUAUCAAUUUUCGCAACCUCUUAUUGAACGUAUCAUCCAAAAAGAUCAAAAUCGAUGAAUAAAAAUUUCAAAGUUUUUUAUUAUUUGUAUUCCAAAUUAUAUUUUAGUCAUAUUGUUUCUCUAUUAAUGUAGUCGUGACGUUUAAUUUGUAACAAUUAAUAAACAUAACAUAUAAAGAUUUGCUACUUGUACAGGGUUUAGGUCUAGAAGUAGUGUUGGCAGCACUACAUUGGCUGCUAACACUGCACUUUUUUGCUAGUGUCCAAUGAUAAGUCAUUGGACAUGACUUAUAAUGACACUGACACCAAUCCCUAAUCUACAGUAUAAGUACCAGUUUCAUCGUCAUUUUUUUUUUGUCCACAACAUUUCAAUGUUACAGAUAAAAGUCUACUUAAUUGUUCAAAUGAUAAGCUCCCUUUUUUCUAAUUAAAAGAAAAAUGGCGGGAAACUGCGAGCACAAACAAGACGACUCGGACUCUAGGAGAUGUGAACCGAGUAGAAGCUGGCUUUGGGUGGGGGAAGAAGUGAACAUUUUCCAAAUGGGUUUUCAGUAUUCUAAAAGGCAUAAAGUUUGGUUAAGCAACAAUAUCAAAUUUUAAGCUUUUAUGUACCAAAGCCUAGAUACAAAAAUCGUAAAACGCGAUUUCAUAAAGUUUGGUUAUGUGACAAUACUUGUGCUUGUCGAGCCAUAGUACUAAGUCCUACCCCGGUGGAGAUUCUAAGUUUUACUUUAUUUAUUUUUUAUAUUAAUAAAGCACGUGAUCGCUAAAUAAUAAUAAUGAAAAAGCAAAUACAUGGCUGCAACCACUUAGCGCUACCAGAAUUUGAGUCGUGAUCUUGUUAAGGACAAGGUGGCCCCAUUG